This 72010-nucleotide long non-coding RNA is filed under the name Zea mays. RNAcentral's name for it is "long non-coding RNA (ZMAY_LNC000966)". The record is from RNAcentral. Lineage: Eukaryota; Viridiplantae; Streptophyta; Magnoliopsida; Poales; Poaceae.
GUCUGUCGAAGUCACUUUAUUAUCGCACACGUGACAUAUUUCAAUAAUUUGUUGUUUACUAUUGAGCAUAGCUCAGUACAAUAACACCACAUAUUUCAGAAGCCACACACAUUAUUUAGAUAGGUUUCCACUCAUACUACACAAGGGACUUGAUCUGAGAACCUGGCGAUAUGCAACAUAUCAUAUGUGUCUAUAUAUAGAUCGGAUACCAGCAUAUGAUGAGUGGAAGGCUAUAUAUGUAUGCAUGAACUUUAGGGAAUGCAACCAGGAGCUAAGUAUGAGGGUUGCUUGAGAGGGUUGCUUGAGCAACCAGGAGCUAAGUAUGAGGGUUGCUUGAGCUCAGUAUGUGGUGCCUUUGGAUGAGACAUAUCAUCGAUUGAAUACUCACGGUUUGAACCAAUACUAUUGUCCAUCAGCUUUCUUCCAUGAUGUAUGCCCUUGGUUCCUUCAUUUCUUCCAUACGAAUUUGCCAGCAAGGUGGUUUCUUCAGCCAUCGUUCCAUGAUCAAAGUAUGCAACUAUGCACAUCAUGUUCAACAAAAUGAGCAGUGCCACCGUUGCAGGCUUCAUCUGUAUAUAUUGGAUAUGUACACAUUAUAUAUGCUAUAUUUUGUAACAUAAUUAGUACGUGGAAAAUAUAUUGAAUCCUACUAAAGAAAACUGGUGUAGCUCACAAAAAGAAAAGGACUCACCCUAGUAAGCUGAUUAGUUGAAACUUCUAUUGUUGAUAAUCAAAGAUACUCCAGGCACGCUAUAUAUAGACAAUGGAGAACAACCUAUUUAGAUGAAGAGGAGUCUCAUGAUGUUUGCAUCUCUGGUUUGGGGGCUUUAGGGCUUGGCGCAUCAUGGCGCACCACAAACAUCAUAACAUGUAGUACUGGUCUAGACCACUACUUACUAUUGUAAAAAUUGAUUUAAGAACCAAGUAGUAGUGAUAGCUACCACUAUUGCAGCCAGGUCGAGCACACGUAUCAAUAUCAUCGCCUAGCAAUGCGUGCAUGAGGGUUAGUGCCAACACAAGGUUGAUAUGUGCAUUUGUGUUUGGAUUGUGAUGAGUGAUUGCCAACAAGUAGCGUCUUGGGUUGAGUCAUGUAGACUAACAGGGGCUGGGCCACAAAAUCUGGCGACACUGUUUCAGAAGGAAUCAAAGGAGACACGUGGCAUCAUUAUGAAGGAUCUAUCAAGGCGAAGCAACUUCGUGAAAAGGGUGUGGUUGUCAGGUCGACAUAUCAAGAAUUGGUCCAUUUUACCAUAGGCUGAGUGGAUACACUAUAUGUAUCUUGGGGUAGUUUAGGAAAGAGAAAUAACUCAUUAUAAAAAAGACGGAGGGCUUGUCACACCCAGUUUUGGAAGGAAAAACAACCUCGUGUUUGGUGUUUAAGCAAGAGUGGGUACACAUCAACGUACUCAACAAUGUCCUGUUUGGUUGAAGUGGAUUAGCUAUAUGUGGGGUUAAGCUCCAGUAGUUGCUUUUAGUUGGUCAGGUAUUUAUCAUUAGUAGAAGCCAAGAUUUAUCAUAGAACCCAAGUUGAUACCCCAAAAGAAAGCACCUCCUCAGAGAGGAAAGUACCAGACAUCAUAAGUAUAGCUAUCAUCAUUAAACCAUCAACAUAAAUGUAUCCAGAGUAUCUCUAAUCAAAGAGGAUCCCAAGGCUGCUCUUAACUGUGAGCACAACUGAUAUACCAGUUUCUAACCCUCAACAAAGGUUGCACACUUUACCCACGAGACAUGAUUCGCUUCAUUGAUCUCUUCCUAGGUGGUCUGGCAGGGUAUCACUACAUAGCAUUUACAAAGAUUCUCCUGGUGUGUAGCCGCCCGUUAGGUUUCGCCAGUCGUACAAACAAAAUCAAAGCAAGCAAGCGUUAUGCCCCAACUCCCAUGACGGCACAACGGCGAAGCAAGCUACACCCCAGAUUCCUCCAAUUAAUCAACUAAGGGCGUCCAAUAGCACCCUCAUGGUUGUACUGUUUUCCCAGGUGGUUUCUCAAUGAACAGGUCCUUACUGAAAAUAAUUAUUUUCUGUUUUUAAAACCUGUUUAACGUGUCUAAAAAUAAUUUUCAUUAGCGGUUUUAUUACGUCGACCACCAGUGGAAAUCGAUUUCCAUUGAUGGUUAAAUUAACUCAACCGCUAGUGGAAAUCGAUUUUCACUAGCGAUCCUCAGUUACCCGCCUGUAAAAAUAAUGAUUUCUAUUUCUCCUAGCACCGAUGGUUCUAAGAAAUGCCAGUGAAAAUAGGUUCACAACCGCCACUAUAGAGCUUCUGUGUACUAGUGUGGUAUAAUUAUGUCACCAAUAUCUAGAAAAUGACUGAUUGAUAUGCAUACCGAACACACUUUCGGUGUCUAGAACACUAUCAGUGGCAACAACACACAAUUUCAAUGUCCAACUAUCCAUUACUCCUUAAUACAUAGAUACAUAAAUUUCUAGACAAAGUUGUGUGGCCUUACAUAUUGCAAGUAUCAUGCCAGCUUGAGAGUAUCAGAAAGAUUGAUUGGCUUUGCAUGAAAGUAAGAAUAUCUUCUCAUAACUGAGUGGGUUUGGUGCAUGCGAGGUUUUUUGCCUAAUGGCUAAUGAUUAUAAAGCACCCCUCGAAUAUGUUGACACAUGGGCAAAUAAAGCGAAUGGUAUAAUUAUGUCACCAAUAUCAAAAAUGACUGAUUGGUAUGCAUACCAAACACACACUUUUCGAUGUCUAGAACACGCACUAUCGAUGGCUAACACACACUUACGAUGUCCAGGAAUCUAUUACUCCUAUCAUUCAAUACAAAGAUAAGUAUAUCUCUAGACAUUUAUCUCCUAAAUAAAGUUAAAAUAAUUUUAGUGCCUACUAAUAUGUCGCCAGGAUUUCGAACAUUGCCUAGCUAGGAAUGGGUUACCAUGUCUAGAUCUUACCUUUCCCAUUAGAUUGUCAUUGUAUGUAUUCAUGACCGCCAAAUUCUAUUUUUAUGUUUUAUAUCUUGAAACUGAAACAUUUGAAUAAAAGGCCCUCAUUUCCAAUCUAUAUGAUAUAUAUCUAUAUAUUAUGGGUUUAUAUACAAGCACAUCAUUCCAUGGUGACACUUCUAAUUAUGGAUUACAAUGCAGAUUGAUUUAAUUAGCUAGUUCACCAGCUUUAGUUUUGAUAAUUGCAAGCUAUAACAAUAAAAAUUAUUAAUUAUAUUAAAUAGCUUCUAGCUUUGUUCUUUGAUAAAGAAAACAUUUACUAAAAUUGUAUAGACAGAUGGUGAUGAUCUAUUAUAUAAAAUAAAUGUGAUAUUAGUAUUUUUUUAUUGGUUGUGUGCACAUAAGAAAAGGUAAAGGGGCUGGUAUAUGCACGGCGAUCAGGGACUGGUUUUUGUUCUAGCUUAAUUGAGCAAUCUGCACAUUAACAAUUGAAACUACUUAGAUAAAUGAGGACUAAUAACAAUCAGCACCAAAGAUGUUGUGAACCAUGCAAAGGGCUCACACAGAAUGACUUUCUGCUGCUAACGCGUAUUAAAAAAGCAGCACAUGCAUGUCUACAAUAUUAACGUUGCCUACACCUUGCACGCUUUUAUCAGUUUGACGGCAAUAUGAUUGCUCCAUUGUAGGGAUUCGAGUGACAUGAAAUAGAAGCAGAGUGCCUUGAAAGGAGCUACGCAUGCAUGCUGAAUUCGAAGCAGCAGUUUCAAAAGAAAACUUUAUUCUUCAUGCAACCAUGUUAGGGCCUGUUCGGUUAGCUCUCAAUCCAUAUGGAUUGAGCGGGAUUGGAUAGGUUUGAAUCCCAAACAAGUCAAACUUCUUCACAAUUUUUUCCAAUCCCAUCCAAUCCAUGUGUGUUAGGAAUAACCGAACAAGCCCUUAAUGUUGUAAAUCGUGGUCAUUUAUUUACUACGCUUGAUUGGUUCAAAGCAGGCGCGUGACCAGGCUCGCGCUGGCCUGCGCGCCUGGAUACUGCCGUUUUUUUUUUUGGUACGUGUGGGUGCAUAUAAAUAACCUCAAAAUAAUUUAUUUUGCAUCAGUUCAAGCACUCUAUAUGCCUCCCACUUGCAGGCAACCAAAUAAACACUUACACAAAGUUAACGCACACGGUGGUCCAGACCAAGACCAUGCGGGUAAUCAAUCAGAAGGUAUGUGCACGACCGGAUACAAUAAAUCUUAUUCCAGACAUAUGAAAUCAUAGGGGGCUCUCUGCUGUAUUAUUUGGUGCGUGAAAUAACUAGCUAGAAAGAAAAGGAAAUAUAGCUAGCUCAGUUGACAAAUGAAAUCAUAUAAAUUUUACAAAGGAAAUAUAGCUAGAAAGAAAGGAAAAACUAGCUCAGUAGAUAAUUGUGUUGUCCCACUAUUCAUGGGGAAUCGAGUGCAACCUUGCAUCUAGCAUAUCUUUAGUUUUACAAAUGCAAUUGUUCUUCACAAUCACGUUUGCCACUCGAUCUGAUCCGUGGUAAACACCAUCUGCAAUAUAUUACCAUGAUUGCCUCUAAGUUUCUAGCUUCUCAAGCUGUAGUCCGGCCUGGCCUGCUUGUCACAAACCUAGCUAUUCAAAAGAAUUAUUUUUUAAAAGAAAUAUUCCUCCUGAGGAAAGAUCAACCUCUCUUACUGCUUCGUUGAAUAUCAGGUCAUGAUGUGUGUUUGGAUAGUUCAGUACGACGAAGUAAGUUCUACUCUGUUCCUUUUCCUCUUACGAACAUCAUCAUAUAAUGAUGAGAUGCAGAAGAUAGCAAACAAUAAUUUAAAUUAUCUUGUUUAUAUUAUUUCGUGCAUUGUACCUACUUUCUUCUAUUUUCAUAUACAUUUAUAGGGACAUAACGUAUAAAGGAGGGUUGGAUUAGACAACUUAAAAUCUACUUUUAAAACUAUGUCAUCUAAUUUUGACCAAGUCCAAAUCUAAAGAAAAAAAUAAGCUAGAUGCAAAAAAUUAAAUCGUCUAGAAUGGAGAUCCACAAAUGCCACAAAGAUGGGACAUACAACCUAGGAUAUAUAUGUAGAUCCUAUAGUGAUUAAUAAGAAUAAUAUAAUGUGAUAUCAAAAUGAUGCAUUGAAGAGAAUACUUACGUUCUUGUCGAUGCAACAUUGAAUAUAAUACAUACUUAUACCUUACAACUUAAAGUAAUGUAUAUUGUCUUGUUCCCUAAACCUUUUCCUAUCUAAAUACCCUAUAUAAUUUGUUAGCCCAGUUUACAAUUAUUCUUCUUACAUUGGAUAUACUCCUUAUAAUCAUGAUAGAACAUGACAUCAUGCAUGUGGUAGACUUGAUGAGGAAGCUAGUCACAAAAUACCACAAAAGAAAUACUGUUAGACACGCGGUCGGCGAUAACCUUAUGUCCGACGGUCUGUCGGACAGACGUGAGACAUAUCCUUAUGUCCGACGGCUACCACACAGACUGUCGGACAUAAGCGAUUUUAAGCUACAACGUCCAACCACGCCAUUUCAUUUCGCCCAACCUCACCAGUGCCUUCACCAGCGCCGCCGCCGCCGCAAGGCCAACCCACCUCGCCGUCGCCGCCUGCCACCACCCCCUCUGCCGCCCGCCACCGCCUCGCCUGUGCCCGCCACUGUGCCCGCAAUCGCCUCCUGCCCAUGCAGUCGCCCGUCCCGCCGGCGCCCGCCACAGCAGGCACCCGCGGGCGGCCUUCUAACCAGCGCCCUCUCUGCCCCCACCGCCUCAUCGGCUCCAACGCCCAUUCGCCCCUACAUCGCCCGCCGCCAGCCAUCCCGAUCUCGCCAUCGGCUAAGUGAGUAUUUUUUGGCUUGUACUAUAAUUUCUAGAUGCAUAUAAAUUAUUUGCUAGUAGUUAUUUUUAGUAUUAAAUGAUUCAUUUGUUAAAUAUUGUUUAGUUUGUUAUGUUCGACGCCCAGAGUUUGUUUAUGUAAUUAAUUUAGCUUGUUUUAAUUCAUCCAGUGGUGUCUAGAUAAUUUAAACUUUUAAUUUCAGAGGGUAAUUAUUAUGCCCUCAGAAAUAAGGUCAUUUUAUAUGAUUUAUGGUUCUAUGAAAUAUUUUUUCUACAUAAUAUUGUACUGGUGUGGUUUAUUAGUUUAACUAUGUAAUAAUUUACGAUGAUUCUAAUUAUUCGUAGUGUAUCGUAGAUGUAGGGGCGUGAUUUACUUAAUUAAUGACGUUAAUGUCUCGUAUCUAGUAUGGAAGAGGAUCGUCGAUGGAUGUAUGAAGGUUGGAAGAAAAGAUGUGCUCUACCAAGUGAGUGGGUCGGCAAAAGUGACGCAUUUCUCGACCAUGCUUUUGCUCGGUCAGAGAUUGGAACCGAUGUUAGGUGCCCUUGUAGCAAGUGCAAAACAUUUAUUUUCUUGACAGGAGGUCUAUGUCGAUAGAUCUUUGUAAGAACGGUUAUAUGCUAGGCUAUGAGGUGUGGGUGCACCACGGUGAGGACCCACCUCAUCAUAUUGUAUCGGAAGUUCAGUCACAUGAAGAGGGGGGACUAUGUCACACCCGAAUUUAAAGGAUAAUGCCAGGUGCAUCUCAUAUGUGCACCAAGGAAGAACAACACAUAUAAUAACAUAAUGUAUAGAGAUCAAUGUCAUAAAUAUCAUAAAUGUACUUAUUACAUAGCGGAAGUUUUAGAAAAUAAAUAAUAAAUAUAAAACUAACUAAAUAUUUUUUCUCUGGCGUGACAAAGCUGACUGGGAGACGCCACCUAGAUCAAGUCGAACUCCUCGUUAUGCGGCUCCUCUUCGACCACCUGUUCUUCUCCUAUGGAAGUGUGAGGCAGCAAGGGUGAGCUCACAUAUGUUCAUCGCUCAACAAGAUAUGGGGAAUAAUGUGCAUGAACUCAUCAAAGGUGGGAAUUCAUGUGAAGUGUAAGGCUGAUCAACAAAAUAAAGGUUGAAGCUGAGUAUUGCUUUUUAAGUUGGUCAAAAUUUUAUUAGCAGUUACUAAUUGUAAGUAAAUACCAAACCAUAGUAAUAAUAAAUAAAAGUAAUAAUAAAAUAAUCCCAAUGCAAUGCAGAUGACAAAUUGAAUUUAAUUUCAUAAAUUAAUCAUGUGAGUGUCUGAGCUGCUCAUGACCGUGAGCACGGCUAGUAUACCCGUUUUACACUCUGCAGAGGUUGCGCAUCUUUACCCACAAGUCGUGUUACCCAUUUGCCACGGGGUUGAUCGGACCCCAUACACCUCUACCAAGGAAGCGAUGCAGGGUUCCACUACGAGGCCUUUACAAAGUUCACUAGCUUCAGAAAACCCGCUAUAGUUUCUAGGAAGCUCUAGUGCAGGUAUCCCUCGCCUGACCGCCAUCGCAGCAAAAUCAACCCGAGGACCUCCCCACACUGACCACUCUCAUACUACCCUUGCCCCUAUCGAGAAAGGUAGUCCUCCACUAGCUUUCCUAGUUUGUCAGCCAAGGGCAUCCCAUACCACCCUUGUGGUAGCACUGUUUUCCCGGGUGGUUCUCCAUGUUCCCAUUAACAUAAUGAUCUUAUCAUGAACAGUAAAUAAUAAACUGAUAAUAAAUAGUGUAAUCAUGAGUGAUAUAUAUCUCUAUACCCAAAACCACAUAAAGCAAUAGCAUGUACUACCCAAAAAUUCAGUGGUAACACAAGGUAUAAAGAUAGAUAAACUAGGGUAACCUAUUGGGUCCCAUCAAAAUUAACCUAUGCAGAUCAUUAUGAUUAAUAAGAACAUGACUGAGUAAAACGAAGUGAUCAAGGGCACAACUUGCCUUCAACGAGCUCCUGCUCAGCAGUCUCCACCUACUGAACCCCCGGAUCCUUAGUAGCUUGCUCGUCUACUCGCAUCAAUACAAACAUACAUAGUAUAGCAAAAAUUAACAUCACACCAAACAAUAGAACAAAAUGCAUGAUAUUAUCCUACGUUGUGUAACGAGAUCGUAGGAACAAGAAUCACUAAAUUUGGAUCUAUGAUUAUUAAGUUAUGACUUUCAGAAGUUAUUAAGUACUUGGAAUAGCAUAACUCAUGUGAAUAAUUUUAGUUCAAGUUUCAUGGCUAAACAAUGUUACUAAGUGAUAAACAAUAUUAAAACAGAAUUAAUGUCUCUGGAAUGAAUUAAUUUGGAGCUAAAAUGAAUUUAAUAUGAUUUAUACAAGUUUCUGGAAUUAUUUUUGUAUUGAAAAUUAAUUUCUAUAAUUAUUUUUUUCUAAUUUCUCUGAUCUCAGGAUUGGGCGCCAAAUUCUGUAAAAGCCAGGGGCUAGCGCGCAAGUUUUCCCCCACACUCAAGUUACUGGCGCAUGGACGACAGGUUAAAUUCUAAAAUCCAUAAGGGCUCUUAUGAAAAUCUACCAGUGCGAAAGGGUGCGCGCCGAUUUCGGGCAUCAGAUUGGAACUGGCGCAUGGACGGUGGGUUAAAUUCUAAAAUCCACAAGGGCUCUUAUGAAAAUCUACCAGUGCGAAAGGGUGCGCGCCGAUUUCGGCCUUCCGAUCGGAACUAAGGGCCACGAUUAGAUCUCACACAUCGCUCAACAUCUCACCCCCGUGACCGCCCGAUCGAGCAUCAACGGAAGGGGGCAAUCAAGUCCCAGCCACCUGAUUCUGAAUCGACGCACUAGAUUUAAAACUGUGAAGUGUCCGUUCAAUUCGAUCUCAAACUCUACCACGUUUCUCCUCACUCUUAGCUAACUCCGGCGACCAGACUGAGGAAUGCGGCGGCUCCAUUACCGGCGCACCCAGUCUUCCCUUUCCUGAUCACUAUUCUCCGAGGAAGUAAGUGCUACUCUCUGUGGGGAAGGCCCCAAUGCAGAUGGGAUGAGUACUAACCAACAACGACGAUUAAGGCGAGGCGGCCACGGCAACCAGCGGAAGAACUCGACGGUGAACGCUCCGGUGAUGAAUUCGUCGCACGCCAACCACCGAUUCCGCUCACGGAGGCUUCUAUUACUCUUGAUGCACCCAGACGAAGCUCCUCAGCCGCACUAUCACGAGCCGAAGCGUGAAUGGUGGAAACAGCGACCUCACCACGGCAAUAUCCCUCAUGGUACCCCUCGACGCUGUUGAUUAUGUCCCUCAACUGCGCAGGCGGCGGCGAAUUUGGGGGCAGUAGAUCUGGGAAGACCCGCAAUGGUUGUUUUAUACGCGGAUUCGGAUGGAUUCAACGGAAUCCGAGAUCACCGCGCUGCCCGAGCCCCCACUCCCUACGUGGACGUCGGCGGUCAACGAACAACCCGCUGAUGAGCGGACCCCACAAGGCAGUGGCUCCCACACGCACGAUUUCUCUGGAAAGACGGCCCUUACCCGCUGGGUCCACAGGGCGAGGCGCGAGCGAAAUGGAGGCUAUCAAAUGGGCCCUGCACGUCAGGACGGCCGCGCGCAGGUCUCGGAAUUGGGCUGAGCACGCGCUCCAUGGGCCGGGCAGGCCGAAUUCGGUCCACGCACAGUCUUCCUAUUUCUUUUUCUUCUCCUUUUCUUUUAUUCUCUUUUCUUUCUUAUUUUUGAAUCUAAAUUUGAAUUUCAAAUUUUGUGGUGAAUUUGUUCUCAGUUAAAUGUACAGUUUGAAAAUACCAGUGUGGAAGAUAUUUAUUCUUAUUUUUAUUUUAUUUUACGUAGUAUUUUCUCAUUUCUUUCCUUCUCUUAUCUUCAAACCCUAAAUUUAAUUUGGGGUUCAAUCCACAUCUCAAGCUCUUAUCCUAUUUUUAUUAAUAUAUUUAUGACCAUUGCUUAAUGCACAAACAAAAAUUCCAACAUGAUGCAUUAAAUAUUCUUUUAAUAGAUAUCUUGUCCUUAUGAUUAGGGUUAAUCACAUGUUAUAAUAAUGAGAUGGCAAACCAAAUGAUGAUAACCCUUACUUUUCUUUAUUCACAAAGUGGGUAUUACAGACUACGAUAGGAUGGAAGAGUUGCUUGACGAUGUACGCAUGAGCUUCUACCUAUCGAUUUCGAGAACCCCGUCAACCCUCUGAUUAUGAGGAUCCUUCUACGCGUGAGGUUCAGAAGUUCUUCGAGCUCCUUAAAGCUAUCAAAGAGUCGUUGCACGAGCACACAAAAGUGACCGUCCUUGUGUUUGUGACUCGACUUAUGGCUAUUAAGUCUAUGUUUUCAUUCUCAAACAACUGUUAUAAGGAGCUUCUAAACUUGAUUAGUGGUGUACUUCCGGAGAAUCACAAGAUGCCAAAGGACAUGUACCAGUCCAAGAAAUCGCUCUCUGGUCUCGGUAUGGACUACGAAAAAUCAAUGUCUGUGACAAUAACUGUAUGCUUUUAUGUAAGGAGACCGCGAGUGAGAAGAAGUGUACAAUAUGUGGUGAGCGUAGAUUCGUAGAGGUUGAAAACGAUGAUGGUUUCACCGUGACAACCGAGGUAGCAGUAAGCAGCUUCAUUACAUGCCUCUUAUAUGUCGGUUGAAACGUUUGUUCAUCUCCAAGAAUACAGCCCAACACAUGAGGUGGCACAAUGAAGGCAUACGUGAGAAUCUAGAUGUCAUGGCGCAUCCAGUUGAUACAGAUACAUGGAAGGCACUAAAUGCCUUUGAUUCCAGCUUUGUUGAUGAAGUGCGAAAUGUCCGCUUCAGUUUGGCAACAGAUGGUUUCUCGCCUUUCAAUCUAACUGCAUCGUCCUACUCAUGCUGGCCCAUUGAAUCGACGAGUAUCGAGAAAGAAGAAAGCUACUUGGCGUCCAUUGAAUUAGCAAAAACAACUAGAUCCAGAUUUUGAUUACGAUUACGAUUGACGAGUAUGGACCAUUAUUUUAUUGUAUAUUUUAUUUUUUUACUUUUUUCAUUAUUUUGUUGUCUAUUUAUGUACUCAUUUGUUUUUGUUAAAAUAGGAUGUCAAAGAAAAUGAGGUCUUUUGCUCGUAGUUUGCUUGGGACGAGGAGUAGCUCGAGGAGUGAGGAUUCAGUUUUAUCAGGGCAUAGGUUCUACCAUGAGCAGACAUAGAGCACUGGCAGAACAUUUGCCUCCAGACGAUAUAAGUUAGUUGUUAAAUUACAUUAUGUAAGUUACUUAAUGUUGCAUGAUGUAAGUUACUUGUUUCAUAGGAUGCUGAAGCCGAGCGACAGUCGAGAUCGAGAGAAGAUGCUACAGUUGGUGCGGUGGUAGAGGACCAUGCGAGAGAUGAUGAUGAAGAUGAUGGCGGAGAUGAUGUGGGAGAUGAUGCUCGAGACGAUGAUGGUGAUUAUUCUGAAGGCGUGGAUUCCGGUGCUGGUGGAGAUUCCACAGCUGGGUCUAGAUCUUCUCGAGUUAGACGAACGAGAAAGUUGCAUUUUGUUGGACCAGCUCCAGAGCUUCCACCCAAAUCUCGGUUUUUGAUAAAGCUAAGUGGAAAGUGAGUGAUAAAGUCUUUGUUUAAUUGUUAUCGAAAGUUAGGUCUUUAUUUCUACAUUGUUUUGUGCUUGUAGGACUUGGAUCCACGACUCGUUCACUGGCAGAGGACACUACAGGCAGGUGAACAUGGUCCAUGGUAAUCUUGUUCGUCUACACUAGCCGCCUGGUCUUGUGACUUUGCCUAGUGGCAAGUCUGUCCCUGCCACCACUUGGGAGCAUUAUCGCUAUGGUGUCUGUAGAACAUUUCACAACACAUGCACUAGUUUAGGAUGCAUUCUGGGUAAGAAUUGUUUUUACUAAUUUUGUUAUCCCAUAUAUGGUUGCUUGUAUGAUAACACUAUUUUUUGCAGAAACGGUAUAAGUUGCCGCAAGAUGGGACAUAUGAUCUGAAUGCUCGUUAUGUGUUUGAGAAUAACGCGAAUGAUGUCGUUGCGGAUGUAAUGUACUAUGCACGACUUCAGGCUAUAAAGGCAUGCUACACGACAAGUGAUGAUGAUCGGCCGAUGCCGAAGACCAAGGCGUAGUGGUCAUCACUUUACCUUACGGAGGAGCAAUACCUUGAGGUAAACAAGUUGUUGCAUCUCAUAUUGUUUUUGCUGAUUCUUGUUUUGGGUACAUGUUAAUCUAUCUAUUUGCUUGAUUGAAAAACAUUCCAUGUAGGUGUUUGUGCCUUGGAUGGCCACCCGAUCAUAAUGUUAUUGGGCCUUAUGAAGGUGGUGGGCUUUCCCUGAGUUUCGUGCCAUUUCCGAAAGGAACAGGGGAAACCGUGGUACUGAGUCGUUCCACAACUAUGGCAGCGAUCGACAUGUGCGCUUGGCUAAGCGAAUGGUAUGUCACAAUAUGUUGUAACUUCGAAUUACAUAGAAAUGUGUCAUUCUAACUUGUAUGUACAGGAAGUCAAAUCUGUCCUACGCCCACAGAUGUGGAGGUGUAUAUGCAAGGGCAUAGGGGUUCUGAUCCUUAGAAUCCUGAUGUUUUAUGCACACAGAUAACCACCGACCAUCUAGUGAGUUUUUGGUACUCUAUUAUGUGUUUGUGCAUCAACUUGGUGAUGCACUUAUAUUUGGUAUGUUUGCUUCUAGGCUUCGUAUGGGCAAGAGAUGGUUUAGCGCCAUGGGUAGGACUACGACUAGAGGAGCCAGCCAAUCGACCCUCAAGCAGCAUAUGCUAGCGCAGGAGGACAAGCCCAUGGACGGUGAAAGUAUUUGAUUUGGAUUUCAAAAUUAUUCUCAUAUGCUUGCGAUUGAAUUGAGUCCAUGGUUUACUCUACUAAGUCCAUGGUUUACUAUACUAAGUGCAUGGUUCACUCUUGUAGGUUGGGUAUUUUUUAUUCUACGAUUGAUUCUAGGGAUCGAGCUGAGACGAUGUGGACGAACAUCCUCGUCUUCGCAGUCGUCCCAUUCUCGAUCAUCCACCCAAGAGAUAGAGAUUGCAGUGUUGCAUCAGCAGGCAGAUUAUCAUUAAUCAGUUUUGAGGCAACAAAUGGAGUACCAGAGGCAGCAAGCUAAGUACCAGAACAAGAAGGACGAGUAUUGUUGGGGGCCUUCUCCUUCCGAAGGUCCUCAAAAACAUAACUAACCAUUUGUUUCCAGCAUAAUUUAUUACAGGAAACUUCGUCUUCAAGAUACAAGCUUCUCCCUUAUGACGAAGGCACACAAGAUGAAGAUAGAUCCAAAGAGGAUAAAAGUAAAUGCUGAAGCUAUCACCAGAUGGACUGCUUCGGCUCGCAACAUUGAUGAUGAAUAACGAUAAUGAUCGAAAGAGCAAAAGACUAAUUAGUCCUUAAUAACUUAUAUUACGAUCAUGUGUAAAUAAUGAUGACAUAAAUGUAAUUUUUCUCAGGUUGUGUCUCGUGCCUAUAAAUAGAUGAACAGUACCACUGUACUGUUCACGCUGCAUUGUGAUCACUCUCUCGCGUAGAAUGUGAAUAUGAAGGAAUUAAUAAGAUGCAAUUAUCGUCUUCGUCCUUUUGUAUUCAUAUCUAUAUAAUAAAUGAUGAAGGCCUGUCCUUCUUGACCUUCGUCUUAUGAGUAUUACACCCUAGUGGAAGUAAUGCUCCAAAGGACGAAGGUUCUUAAUCUUUAACAAUUGUGUUGUCUUGUUCUUGAUUCACAACAUUUGAGAACAAGUGAACAACAAGUAUUAUUCAAACCUCCAGGGCUAGAAUCAAGAUCUACUCUCGGUAAGUUGAAGUAACAUUUUGUUCGUAACAACUAAAAAUACAUGAUGUGUACCUUAUUUUCUUAACAAUUGUUUGUAUCUAAUUUGUAGCAACUGGCACAACAAGCGGGUGUCCCAAUACCAACAUAUGGGAUGCCACCUCUGGACUUUGCACUGCUGCCACCAAUGUUGUCUCCUCCACCUUUGCCACAAUUCCCUGUGGUAUGUACACAUAUUCGUGUGUGACAUGUUCAUAUAUAGAUGCCUUAUGUGUAAAAAUGAAAAACGUAGUGGUUAAUGUUUCAUAUGUGUGUGUGUUAUAGGGCUUUGAGACACCUCUCGCUUCAGUUGCCGCACCUAGAGAUGUGUCUGGUCAAGACGACACAUCAACUUCUUGGGUGAACAACCUUUUCAACACCCAGAGUCCAGCCGAAGGAAGUGGCUAUAACUCCAACCAACCAGGUGACAGAUAUGUGUGACAGUUUCUGUAAAUGUGUUUGAUUUGGAACUAUGUCAGUGUUGAUGUCAAAGACUAUGUGAAUGUCAAACUAUGUCAGUGUUUAAUUUGGAACUAUAUGUUGAUGUAAAAGACUUGUUGCAACUAUUUGGAACUAUAUGUUUGUGAAUGUGAGGUGAUGUUCGAUAAUGUGAAUACUUAUGUGAAUUGAUGUUUCUUAAUGUAAUUGUGAAUGUGAUUAUGAAUAUGUGGAUGUAUAUGAAUUCUGUGUAUAUAUAUGAAUUUUGUGUUUUUCUGUAAAUGUCAGAAAUUUACAAAAAUAGGGGUUUUUGCCACUGUUGAACAUCAUUAUGUCCUACGGUGUUAGCAGAAGCCGUCGAACAUAAGGCUCUGUUAUGUACGAUGGCCUUGCUAAGCCGUUAGAACUAAUAGAGCCUUAUGUCUGAUGGCCUCCGCUAAACCGUCAGACAUAAGGGACAUGGGCCCUGCCAACAGUUGUUAAGACCGUUAUCGAGGAUAAACGUCGACAACCAAAAGGUUCCAUCGGACAUAGCUUAUUUCCGAUGGCCGCCGUUGGAAAUAAGGUUAUUUUUGACCCUUUACGGCCGAGGGACAAGUACCGUCGGACAUAAGCCUUCGGUCAUCGGAAAUAGCUUAUGUCCGACGGCUUAGGGCUUAUCUUCUACGACUUUCGCCGUCAGAAAUUCCCUAUUUUACUGUAGUGAAUAUCAGGUCAUGAUGUGUGUUUCGAUAGUCUAGUACGACAAAGUAAGGCCCUUUUGGUUCUUUUAGUCACCUGACUAAACUUUAUUGACUAAAGUUUAGUCACUAAAAUACCCUGUUUGGUUCCAGUGACUAAAAUUGACUAAAGUUCAAUAAUUACUACUAUGAUACCCGGUUUGCAAAGAGGAGAAGUGGAGGUUAUUCUUUUUGUUCUUUUUCCUCAUUCGGGAGAUGCGCUUUGGGAAUUUGGAAUUUGUGGAAAACAUUCACCUGUAAGACAGUACAAAUUCUUUGGUUAGUUGCUUGCGACGGGGUCGGGAGCUGUCACGUGGGCGAGUUGGGCCUUGAACCUUGAUCCGGCCCAUUAGUCUCCCCUUAACCCUAGCCACCCUCCCCUAAUUCCCCCCUUUGUGCCGCCCCCCCAUUUCCCCUAGGCCUUGGCCGCCGCCCCCCCCCCUCCCCUCUCUCAUCUUCUUCCUCCUCAAACCCUUGCAGCCAUCACCACCCAAAACCCUAGCCGCCCCUCCAUUUUCUCCUUCCCCCUCCAAGGUGCAGCCCUCCCGCGUGGUUCUCCGUCGUGUGGCUGCGAUCUCAAUUGGAGUUUGGAGGGAGGAAGAAGGAAGGAGGAAGGGAAGAACCCAAGGUAAAUUUGUGUUUAACUUUUGUUGUUUUUGUUCUGCAAUCAAUUGGAUUAUGCGUUUAUCUUUGCGAAUCGGUAGAGGUGCUGUCCAUAAAUUUUGUGAGUGGGUGAACAGCAGUAGUUCUAGGAUUUCUGGGAAUUUUCGUGGGUUAAUUAGUGGGAAUCAGUGAGAUAAUAAUGUAGAGCUUUGUCAUACUUUUCCAACGAGUACUUAUGCGCUCGAUUGGGCGUUAUAAUUUAGGAGAUAUCGUUGUUUGAAUCCGGGUAUGUUGCUGUCCAAAAAAAAACAGAUUUUUCAGGUGGGUGAACAGCAGUAGUAUUAGCAGUUUCUGGGAAUUUUUCGUGGGUAAUUUGUGACAACCAGUAUGAUAAUCAUGUAGGGCUUUGUCUUAUCUUUCCAAUGAGUACUUAUGUGCUUGAUUUGGAAUUAUAUUUUAAAUGAUAUCGCUGUUUGAAUCCGGGUAUGUCGCUGUCCAAAAGAAAAAAAACAGAUUACAAGGUUUAUCUUGUGGACUGUUUUGGGCUAAUUAGAUAUUAGAAUUUAAUUAUAAAUUGUAUACAAAACUUGUGGGGAAUUUUAUGUAGAUGCCUGUGGAGUUUUUGUUUGUUACCACUGCUGUCAUAAAUUUAAAGUUAUGAAAUUAUUAAGCUGCACGCUGCAGUUUGGUGGGUGUGGGGAGAGUUGUUACCCGCGACGGGGUUUGAGAUUGUGCGUAGGUGCGGUGUCGUUUAUGAGUCUUAUUAUGUGAAAUUGGUGCACUAAGUUGUGUGUCAAAAACAGGUGGUGGACAUCUGGAUCGUACUUAGGGAUUUGCCCAAACUUCCGAUGAAGGCAAGUAAAACAGUGAUGGUUAUUCCGUUUGUUGAUUGAAGAGUCAUAUACGUGAUUAUGUUUGUGCUAUUUUUGUUCAUAUUCAUAUUCCUAAUUUGGUAUUGUCGUUUGAAGUUAUUCAUGUUUUAUUGAUAUACAUGUGGAGGGUGUGGUUUGAUCAUGUUAUCCAUGUAGUUUAUUAUGUGAAAUGGGUGGAAGUAUAUGUCUAGCACAUUUUAUUUGGGAAGAACUCAUGUUGUUGACAUGCAUAAUGCAUUCAUCAUCCAUUGCAUUGAAGUUUCGUCGAGAUCUUAUGGUCCGACCGUACCGGUACAAUGAGCAUCAUAUUUUGCCCGAGAAGGGGUAUGAUGCAGCUUCAUAUCCUUAGAGGUAUGAAGGCAGAAGUCAUACUGCAUCUGUAGCCAUGUGCAUUCAUGGGGGAAGUAUGGAACCUAUUAUGCUCCAAAUUACUUGCUUACUUGCUGCAAAUUAAUAUUUAAGAAAGAAGUUGGGAACCACGUGGUUGCUUAUGCACGGUUGGUUUACAUUGUCCAAUUGUUGUUUGCUCUUUUUUUACUUGCUGAGAUGUGUCAUCUCACUCUUGCAUUGUCUGAGGCAGGCACAUGAUCUUUGCUUUGGGAAAGAAGGGAUGUAGCAGCACGGCCACCACACCUUUAAAUAAAGGAACCACUGCUUAAUAAUGAUAUUAAACAGGGAGGGUCAAAUCUAGAGGAUUAUUACAUUCUAACCUUUCAUGGUAGUUGAACUGUUUAGUUUGGUGGGCUGAGUUGUCUAUCUAUUGUCCGGUCAUGAAUGUUCAUUUCUACCGUUGCAAUUCGAUUAUACUAUGUCAAUUAUCUUUCUUUUAUAUCCCGUAUAAACUCUAUGUUUCCCUUGUUAUGCUACUUUCAAGGGAGGUGCUGCCGGAUUCUGCAAUACUUUCUUUCUCUAUGUGUUGCAUAAGUUUUGUAGGAAGGGUUUUUGGUAACAUCCAUUGUGUGGGAUCAGUGGGGUCUUACAGUUGGUAUCAGAGCAAUAGGCUGUAGGUCCUAGCAAGUGGAGUAAUAAUAAAUUGACACACUGCACAUGUAGGAUGGGUUUUCUGCUUUACUAUUGAUAUGUUAUGUUAUUGUCUGAGCUAGUUUGACAUUAUCUGUUUACUUAUUAUUCUCAUCCCUGUGGCUGCAGCUAUGCCGCGUCGUAGGGCUUGGGGUAGUCCGCAAGUUCCUAGUGGGGACUCGAUGAGUCCGACGGCAAUGUUAGCCGCGAUGCAGGCCAUGCAACAGGAGUUGGCCAUUCUGAGGCAAGCUAUUCUUGUUGCCCCAGCAGGUGCUGCUCAAGGUGCUGGUGGUGGAGGAGUGCCUGGGGGCGCUGUCCCUGCGAGUGCUGCUCAAGGUGGCGGGGCCGAGGUGCCUCUUCCAGUCAAUGGUCUUUCUCUGAUGCAGUGGAUGGGCAUGAAGUUGGAUUCUUUUGAGGGCAGUGGUACUCCGGUCGAGGCUGCAUAUUGGCUAACUUAAGUGGAGGAUAAGAUGAAUGUCUUCAAGAUUGUGUAUGGAGAUCGGGUUCGCUUUGGCACACAGCUGCUAAAGGGAGAGGCUCAAAUUUGGUGGAGAGGCGUGCAGGAAGCGCACUCCUCCUCACCAGGAGUCCUGUCUUGGGAUGUCUUCAUCAUGCAGUUUGAAAGGAGAUUCUACCCGGUCACCUUCCUAGAGAAAAUGAAGAUUGAUUUGCAGUCCUACAAGCAGGAGAAGAAGUCUGUCACAUAGUAUGAAGUGGGCUUCAACAAGAUGGUCUGCUUUGUCCCUCAUGUGGCUUAUAAUGAGAUAGAGAAGGCGAGCCAGUUCCGUCAAGGCCUGAAACCUUCCAUCAGGCAUGCCCUGGGAGCUUUUCGUUGGUGGACUUCCAUACUACAGUGGAGCAGGCACUAGGUGUGGAGAUGCAACACCAGUUUACCAUGGAGUCGCAGAAGUCUUCGGGUGUUGAUCAGCCUCGUGGCUAGGACGCGAGGAGGGGCAACACUGGAGGUCCAGCCCACAAGAGGGGCAAGUCUCAGCAUCAGCGCCACCAUCCCUAUCGUGGCAAAUCCUCUGACUCGGGUACUUCGGGAGGAAGUACUCAAAGGUUUCGGGCCGUUCCUAAGCCCGGGCUGGGGCUGGUGUGUUUCCGUUGUGGUGAUGCGCAUCACCGUGCAGAGUGCCAGUGGAAUGGCAGAUGUUCAAUCUGUAGUCAAGACCACAAGGAUGUGGUGUGUAGGAGGAAUCCCAAUGGGAGCUAGUGACUUCCUCCUCUUCUCAGGGCACUGUCAACAUGAUGUCAAGCGUUGAGCAGCAAUUUUCAGUUCCACUUCCUCCGCAGCAGUUUUAUGUGCUUGGGACCUCUCAGUUCGUGCCGGUGCAGGAUUUUCCUCAGUAUCUGGCUGCGCCUACUCCUGCACCGACUACUCCUAUGUCGUCUCAGUUUGGAGCUCCGCGUCUGCCUCACCCGACGACUUAGUGGGGUUCUUCUGUUAAUUUCACUUCGGGAGCUUCCUCUUCUGCGGGUAUUUUCGGAGCCUAUGUGCUACCCACUGUGGAUGCCAGAGAGCAAGGAGACGUGGUGACAGGUACGGUUUCAGUUGAUUCGUUUGGGGCCCAUGCUCUUUUUGACUCCGGCGCUAGCUAUUCGUUUGUUUCGGAGAAUUUUGUGUCGCGGGCUGGUCUUUCGGUGCAGAGGUUGGGUCACCCAAUUUUGGUUAGUUCUGCUAAUGGCUCCAUUAGUAGUUGUUCAGUUUGUUAGGGGUGUUCCGUUAUUCUUGCUGAUGAGGUCUUUUCGGCCAAUCUUGUUGUGAUUUCCUUGGGGGCAUUCGAUGUUAUCUUGGGUAUGGAUUGGUUAUCUCAGUAUCACGCAGUUAUAUCCUGUUUUUUGGAAGACGGUGUUAUUGCAAGCACCAUCGGGUAGGGAGGGUGGUAUUCUUGGGAAGUUCCCCAAAGUACUCGUUAUCCUUGUUGGCGCAAUUGCUUCAGGAUCGCCGGUCAAGGAAGUCAGGAACCUUUUUCUCCAUGGUGGUGGAGGGUGAGGCUGCCUUGCGGGUACAGGACAUCCGUGUGGUGUGCGACUUUGCUGACGUGUUUCCGGCAGAGCUUCCAGGCAUUACUCCAGAGCGCGAUGCAGCUUUUGAGAUCAAGCUGAUUCCGGGUACGCAGCCUAUUCAUAAGGCCCCAUAUCGAAUGACCCCAAAGGAGCAGGUUGAAUUGAAGUGGAAUUGGAUGAUCUGCUGGCUAAGGGUUUCAUUAGGCCUAGCAGGUCUCCAUGGGCUUCCCCAGUAUUGUUUGUUGAGAAGAAGGAUAAAAGCAAGUGGCUAUGUGUGGAUUAUCGCGCUUUGAAUCAAGUGGCAAUCAAGAAUAAAUAUCUGCUACCCCGUAUUGAGGUUCUCUUUGAACAGUUGAGGGGUGUCCAGGUCUUCUCCAAAAUUGAUUUGAACUCUAGUUAUCAUCAAUUGAGGAUUCGUGAGGAGGAUAUUGAGAAGACCGCUUUUUGCACCAGGUAUGGGCAUUAUGAGUUCAUAGUCAUGUCUUUUGGCUUAACUAAUGCCCCUGCUGCUUUUAUGGAAGCAAUGAAUAGGAUGUUGCAUGAGUUCUUGGACGACUUUGUGGUCGUGUUCCUGGAUGAUAUUCUGAUUUAUUCAAAGAUCGAGGCUGAGCAUGAGCAUCAUCUCCGUCUCGUUCUGGGUGCCCUAAGGAAGAAUCAGUUCUAUGGCAAGUUGAAGAAGUGUGCCUUUUGGCUGUCCGAAGUGGCUUUCCUAGGGCAUGUGAUUAAUCAGCAGGGCAUUGCGGUUGAUCCCAAGAAUGUUGCGGCUGUGGUGGAGUGGAAGAGACCCUCUAGUGUCUCUGAAAUUCGAAGUUUCUUGGGGCUCGCUGGAUAUUAUCGGCGCUUCGUACAUAAUUUUUCCAGCAUUGCGAAGCCUUUGACCAGACUCUUGGAGAAGGGUGUUCUCUUCGUCUGGUCCGACGAUUGCGAGGUCAGUUAUCAGACAUUGAAGAGCAAGUUGGUGGACGCCCCUAUCCUAGCUUUGCCUGACAGGGUAAGCGUUUCACAGUUUUUACGGAUGCUUCACGAAUUGGUCUUGGCUGUGUGUUGAUGCAGGAAGGCAGAGUGAUUGCUUAUGGCUCAAGGCAGUUGAGGAAGCAUGAGGGAAAUUAUCCAACUCAUUAUCUUGAAUUGGCCGCGGUGGUUUUUGCUCUAAAGUCGUGGAGGCAUUAUCUUUAUGGCGAGGCUUGUGCAUUUACACCGAUCAUAAAAGUCUCAAGUAUAUUUUCACUCAGAAUGAGCUGAAUUUGAGGCAGCGUCGGUGGCUCGAAUUGAUUUAAGAUUAUGAUUUGUCCAUUCAUUAUCACCCGGGGAAAGCAAAUGUGGUGGCUGAUGCCCUUAGCAAGUCCGGGGUUCCAAAAGUGGCCUUGAUGUUGAUCGCUGAUCUGGACCAUUUGGGGAUCGCUUUGUGCUAUGUCGGCACCGCUAGUGAGGAGACACGUUUGCUUAUUCAAUCUUCCCUCAUGGAGAGAGUGCGUGCGGCUCAGCAGCAGGAUCGUUUAUUGCAGGAAGCUCGAAAGAGGGUUGACGAUGGUAAACCCCAGGAGUUCUCCAUUGAUGAGAAUGAUUUGGUUUGUUUCAGGGGUCACCUUUGUGUGCCUCAGAAAUCAGAGGUGAAGAUGGAUAUUGUUGGGGGCCUUCGGCUUCCGAAGGUCCUCAAAAAUAUGAUUUAACAAUGUUUUUGGAGUAUAAUACAUGAACAGGUAUCUUCGGACUUGGAUCAGAACUACAACAUGAAGAAGCACAAAGAACACGAAGGUUGGCGCAGAGCCGAAGCUAUGUGCAGGAGAGCUUCGACAUGAUAGCAGAAAAGGGAACCGACUUAAAAAGGAAAAGGCUAUUCAGACCUCGAUGGGUACUAUAGGGUCAUUAGCAAAUGUAAAGGGUUUUUACAUGGGCUGCGUCCCGUGCCUAUAAAUAGGUGAACAGUAUCCCCGUACUGUUCACGCUGACUUGGCAUCUGCUUUUGCGUCACGCUUGUACUUUUGCCUUCUUUCAAGCCAAAGGUAUAUUUGUAACUUAAUGUCAUUUCUAUUUUUCCAUGUUAAUAAAAUAGAAAUGAGCUAAUAAUGAUAUAUAAAUGUUCAUGUUAUCCUUCGCAUUUCAUGUGAUUCUCAUUUUCACUAUCAUGUGCCGUAAUAAUGAAGGUAUGUCCUUCACGACCUUCGUCCGAAGAUCGUUAUAUCCCAAGGAAAAUAAUGCUUCAAAGGACGAAGGACAUUAAUCAUUUAACCUCCUUUUGUGUUGCCUUGUUCUUAAUUCAUAGCAUUUGAGAACAAGUCCACAACAGAUAUCUUGAGAGAAGCUCAUAAAACGCCUUACACCGUUCACCCUGGUGAAACCAAAAUGUACCGAGAUCUGAAGCAAAACUUCUGGUGGAAGCGAAUGAAGGUUGACGUUUCAAAGUACGUGGCCGCCUGUGAAGUAUGUGAGCGCGUGAAGGCCGAGCAUAAGAGGCCUGCUGGUUUGCUGAAGCCAUUGGAAAUUUCGGAGUGCAAGUGGGAGCAUAUCACCAUGGAUUUUGUGGUGGGCUUACCUCGUUCUCCUUGGGGCAGGGAUGCCAUUUGGGUGGUAGUGGAUCGCUUGACUAAGUCUGCGCACUUUAUUCCCAUGAAGACCACCAAUUCAGCUUUAGAGUUGGUCCCCCUGUAUAUGAAGGAAGUAGUCAGGCUCCACGGGGUACCUAAGUCCAUUGUUUCUGAUUGAGACUCCAAAUUUGUAUCCAAAUUCUGGGAGAGUCUUCAUAGUGCAUUGUGCACCAAGCUUUCUCUUAGUGUCGCUUUUCAUCCUCAGACUGAUGGUCAGUCGGAGCGAACGAUCCAAACCUUGGAAGAUAUGUUGUGUGCUUGUGUUCUGUCUUGGAAGGGUAGCUGGGAAGAUCAUCUUGCAUUGGCAGAGUUUGCUUAUAACAACAACUACUGUAGGAAACGGGUGAUGCCUAAGAGGGGGGGUGAAUUAGGACUUCUAAAACUUUUACUAAACUAGGCCACAAUUAAAUCCCUAGAGCAAAACCUAUGCAAGUAAUCAAACUAGAAUGUGCAAACUAGGUUUUGUCUAAGUGUUGCUAUCUCUACCGCAAUAGCUAAGUUUCAAUCUACACUAGAUAAGUAUGAAUACAAGAUUGAAACUUAAAUGCUUAAUGUAAAUGCGGAAACUUAAAGAGAAAAGUAGAGAAGCAAACUCUCGUGGAUGAUGCCGGUAUUUUUACCGAGGUAUCCGGAACCACGCAAGGUCCCGACUAAUCCUCGUUGGUGCCCCUACACAAAGGGAAGCCCACGCGAGGGCCAAGCAGCAUGGUUGAGUAACUCCAUAGAGAGUCGCGGGCCUUCUCCACGCACAAGUGGUGCUCCGCUUUUGGCUCCUCUCGGACGCUCCCCGCCGUCUCCACUAUCGAGCUUCCGGCCGAAACGCCGCGGGCCUCGUUCCCUCCGAUACACGAUGGCGGCCGUGACACAAACGCGGUUGUCACGGUCUCGCAAGACUCUCGCCCCACUCGGUACAAUUACAACGACUCACACAAGAGCCGAGGGUUGCGUGGUUUUACAAAACUCACUCAACUAACUAGGGUUCACCUAGAGCAAGCGCUAAAGCGGUCUAACUAACCUAAGCACUUCGCAAAGUACCUACGCUAAUCACCGAGUGAUUCUAUUAAGCACUUGGGUGUUUGAGCUCUUGGAAAUAUGCACUAUGUGUCUUGGUAUGUUGCUUGGGCUCUCACACUUGAGAAUGGCCGGUUGGGGUGGUAUUUAUAGCCUCCAAUCCCCAAACUAGCCAUUGGACAGAAAGCAGCAGCUUUCUGUCGUCGGGUGCACCGGAUAGUCCGGUGCACCACCGGACAGCCAAUGUGCAGUGUCCGGUGCACGCCACGUCAGCCGACCGUUGGCGCCUGUAGCAGUCGAAUGUUGGAUCCGACCGUUGCCGUCUGUCUAGUGCACACCGGACAGUCCGGUGCCGACUGUCCGGUGCCCCACCGGACAGACCGGUGCUACAGCCAAAGAGCGCCUGUCUGUGGCCUCUCUGCGCAGACUGUCCGGUGCCCCACCGGACAGUCUGGUCGAAUAGUCCGGUGCACACCGGACAGCGCUGUCCGGUGCGCCACUAAGCGCUGGCUGACAGCCCGCUUGUUGGAUUUCUUCGCCGAUUUCUUCGGGCUUCUUUUGUUCUUGAGUAUUGGACUUCUGUGCAUCUUUUUAUGUCUUCUUUUGAGGUGUUGCAUCCUCAUUGCCUUGGUCCAAUUCUCUUCGCAUCCUGUGAACUAUAAUUAUAAACACUAGCAAACAUAUUAGUUCACGGAUUGUGUUGUUCAUCAAACACCAAAACUCGAUUGGCCAAAUGGCCCGGGGUCCAUUUUCCUUACAAUCUCCCUCUUUUUGGUGAUUGAUGACAACACAACCAAAGCAAGCAAAUAAUACAAGUAAUUGAAUGAAAAUAUGCAAUCUACUUGCUAAGAUGCAUGAUUUUCCCCACAAUGUGAUAUUAUGGACUUAAGCCUCCCCCUAACUCCAUAAUUCACUUACUUCCUAUUUUUGGACCAAAUAACCAAAACCACUAGAAAAACCAUUUGUAGAUAUAAAAUUUUAAAUUGGUGGUGUUUGGUGUUUGAUAUAGUUUUCAUUGCUUUGGUCCCUAAACUUCUCCCCCUUUGGCAUCAACCACCGAAAAGGAAGACAUUAAAAGCAUGUAGGAAGUAAAUAAGACCUUGCCCUCAUCAAGAAUUUUAUCAAAUGAUACCACUAGAAGGAUAUUAAAUUAAACCACAUGAAUGAUACCAGUUGAAAGGAUUACUCCCCCUAAAUAAGUGUUCUCUUUAGAAAGAAGUUUCUCCCCCUUUUUAGAGAUGAAGAAAUACUCCCCCUGACAGAGAUCCUCUACUUAGGAAAAAAGCAUGUGAAAAUUAAAGGUGCAAGAGAUGAUUUGAAAAGACUAACUUCCCUUAUGCAUAGGUAACAGAAUGUGAGUUAACUACUUAUGCAUUUUUAGCAACAUGGAAGCAUAUGAUAUGAAAUAUAGUCUAAUCAAAUUUUGGAGAAGACAUGUAAAUGAUACUAGAUAUAGUCUCAAAAGAUACCAAUUGAAACUCAAUGGCGAGCUUGAGAGACAUGAGAGUUCUUGGAGAUUUUGUAGUGGAAGAUUGUUGUCUUUCUCCGGGGACCUUAUUUUCCUUACAAUGAGACUAUCACAUGAAAUAGACUUGAAAAGGUGUUAGUCUCAAGGUGUUAGAUUAUAGAGUAACCUCCCCCUAAAGGUGUGUAUACAAGUUUUGAAUACUUGUAGGAGACAUGCACUUUGAUUUGAUAUCAAGAGGGGCAAAUUAUCCAUAAUCCGAACUUUGGCACAUAUAAGUUAAAUGAUACAACUUGUAGAAAUCAAAAAAUUUCAAUUGAUGCAUCAUUUACUAUGGAGUGAUUUAAAAGCUAUGUGCCGUGCUUAAAUAAACAUUUUAAGCCAUGUAGGUUUGCUUAAGUAUAUGAAUUGAAAACAAGCAAUCCUACCAUAUGAUUUACCUAGUAUGCAUGAUUUUAAACACAAGUACAUAACAAAUAUAAUACUAGGUAAGAAAGGUAAACUAGAUACAAAGUAAAUAGAUACGCAUAUCUAAAAACAAGAAAUACAAUAAAACUAGUUACCUUAGUCAUGGGUGGGAAAUUUGGGUCCAAAAUUUUCACUAACCCACUUGGCAAUAAACUUGAUCCAAUAUGAUGUAUCCCAUGAUAUACAUCCAAAUUUGCCAAGUCUCCAAAUUUCCCGAUGACCUUCGGUUCACUCACUUCCCUUUCGGGAUCCAGACCUUCUUGGUGCUUUUCAUGGUUGAAAUUAUUUCCUUUGGCACCCAGAUGCGUUUGGCCCCUUUUCCUUUGUUGGCUUCCUUGUUGGCCUUGAUUGCUAUCACCUUUCCAUUCUUUUUCUUCUUGAUCAAGUAUGGUGUAGCAUCCUUUUUGUUCACCUUUUUGAUGUAGGUGUUGGAGAUUUUGCUUGAUGGCUUUUGCUUGAGCUUUUGCCUUUGUUUAUCCCCGGUCAUCGCCUUGCAUUGGAAAGACUUGUGGCCUUCCUUGUGGCAUAGCCUACAAAAUCACAGUUUCUCCCUCCAUAGGCUUGUUCACUCCCGCAGUGGUGUUAUCGUGUGGAGGUUGGAUUUGUUUGGCUUUGUCUUUCUUGUCAUACAAAGCCUUGCCAAGGCGAGCCACUUCUUGCUUUAAUUGUUCAUUUUCCUUUGCAACCUCAUCCGAACAUGUUUCUACAACAAUAUUCUCAACAAAGACUUGGUUGCAGGUGUUAGAAUCAUCAAGUAAAUCAAAGCAGGAAGUAGAAGCAUCUUUCUUACUAAUUUCAGGUAUUUCAACUAAAGAUGCUGCUGGGGUGCUACCAAUGUUUUCUAGCUUAGUAGUUAGCUCAUUAUUGUGUAUGCUAAGAAUUUCCAUUUUCUCUAGCAAAUUUUCAACAACUUCUUGGGAGCUAGCUAACUUAGCCUUAAGUUUUUCAUUCUUUUUAAUAAGGCUUUCAUCGGUAGCAGUGGAUGGAGCACUAGAUUCUAAUAGCUCAAUUUUAGUUGAUAGCUCACUAUUUAAGUUUGCAAAAGUUUCAAAUUUUUCUAGCAAACCUUUGUAAUCAUUUUGAGAGCUAACCAACUUAUUUUUCAAAGUUUUAAGUUGAGCUUUUUGCUUAGUGCAAACAUCCUGGAAAAAUUCUACGACUUCUGCAAGCUCAUCUAGAGAUGGCUUUCCCUCACCUUCAUCAUCACUACUACUUUCAUCACUAGAGGAUGGAAUGCUUGUGUUACCUCUUGCCAUGAGGCAUUUGUGUGACGAGCGUGAUGAGGACCGGUGGCUGCGUGUCCUUGGAGGUUCGUCUUCACUUGAAGAGUCAUCCCAAGUUCUAACACUUGUUAGCGCCUUGCCUUUGCUCCUCUCCUUUUUGGGUUCGGCCAUAGUUGGACAGCUGUCCCUGAAGUAGCCCUUCUCCCCACAUGCGAAGCAUCCUCUCUUUCUUUGCUUUUUCCUGUCAAUGUUAAAGAGAAGAUCUUCUACCUGCAGGGGCACACCCAUUAGAUUAAUCUUGCGGAUCAUCCUCAUUACCUUUCCGACGUGUCGGAUUGAUUCUUCGUCCUUGGAGGAUGAUGUGCAUGGUUGAUUAUCUUCAUCAUCAUCACUUUCUUCUUCUUCCUCUUCUUCACUUGAGGAACUUGGAGUGGGAGCCGUCUUUUUGCCCUUCCUUUCAUCACAUGCAAAAGCAUAUGGCCUUGAGGAAGUUGGCUCCUCUCCCCGACUCAUUUUUCGCGACAUCUCAAAGGCCGCGAUUUUCCCAAUCACAAUGGUCGGGGUCAUGUUGCUCAAAUCCUCCAUGUUGUGAAGGAUGGUGAUGAUGCUCCCAUAUCUUUGUUGUGGUAACAAGGAGAUAAUCUUCCUCACAAUGCCCGCGUCACCUAGCUUAUUAAUGCCAAUAGAGUUAAGCUCAUUGAUAAUUAGAUUCAAACGAGAAUACAUGUCUCUAACAAGCUCAUCAUCUUUCAUAGCAAAAGAAUUAUACUCAUUUAAGACUACGCAAUGUUUUUGCUCACGGACAUUGGAUGUGCCGUCAUGGAGCUCAUGCAAUUUUAGCCAAAUCUCAUUAGCAGUUUUCAAGGUAAAUAAUUGAUUAAAAAUAUCCAUGCUAAAAGGUUCAUACAAGCAAUUUUUGGCUCUAGCAUUUAAAUGAAUUUCAUUUUCCUCACUCGUGGUGGGUUUCUCGGGAUUCUUGAGGGGUUUCAUCCCGUCACGAGUGACUCUCCAAACACCUAGAUCAACGGCCUCUAGGUAACAAGCCAUUCUAGCACUAUAAUAUGGGAAGUUAGUGCCGUCAAAGUGUGGUGGCUUAUGGGUAUCCAUCCCUCCCUCUAAAAAGCGUCGACUCUUUUAGCGGUGAAGCUAAAGCGUUUCAAAUGAGCCAAACCGGGCUCUGAUACCACUUGUAGGAAACGGGUGACGCCUAAGAGGGGAGGGGGGUGAAUUAGGACUUCUAAACUUUUACUAAACUAGGCCACAAUUAAAUCCCUAGAGCAAAACCUAUGCAAGUAAUCAAACUAGAAUGUGCAAACUAGGUUUUGUCUAAGUGUUGCUAUCUCUACCGCAAUAGCUAAGUUUCAAUCUACACUAGAUAAGUAUGAAUACAAGAUUGAAACUUAAAUGCUUAAUGUAAAUGCGGAAACUUAAAGAGAAAAGUAGAGAAGCAAACUCUCGUGGAUGACGCCAGUAUUUUUACCAAGGUAUCCGGAACCACGCAAGGUCCCGACUAAUCCUCGUUGGUGCCCCUAUGCAAAGGGAAGCCCACACGAGGGCCAAGCACCACGGUCGAGUAACUCCGUAGAGAGCCACGGGCCUUCUCCACGCACAAGUCGUGCUCCGCUUUCGGCUCCUCUCGGACGUUCCUCGCCGUCUCCACUAUUGAGCUUCCUGCCGAAACGCCGCGGGCCUCGUUCCCUCUGAUACACGGUGGCGGCCGUGACAGAAACGCGGUUGUCACGGUCUCGCAAGAUUCUCGCCCCACUCGGUACAAUUACAACGACUCACACAAGAGCCGAGGGGUUGUGUGGUUUUACAAAACUCACUCAACUAACUAGGGUUCACCUAGAGCAAGCGCUAAAGCGGUCUAACUAACCUAAGCACUUCGCAAAGUACCUACGCUAAUCACCGAGUGAUUCUAUUAAGCACUUGGGUGUUUGAGCUCUUGGAAAUAUGCACUAUGUGUCUUGGUAUGUUGCUUGGGCUCUCACACUUGACAAUGGCCGGUUGGGGUGGUAUUUAUAACCUCCAAUCCCCAAACUAGCCGUUGGACAGAAAGCAGUAGCUUUCUUUCGUCGGGUGCACCGGACAGUCCGGUGCACCACCGGACAGCCACUGUGCAGUGUCCGGUGCACGCCACGUCAGCCGACCGUUGGCACCUGUAGCAGUCGACCGUUGGAUCCGACCGUUGCCGUCUGUCCGGUGCACACCGGGCAGUCCGGUGCCGACUGUCUGGUGCCCCACCGGACAGACCGGUGCUACAGCCAAAGAGCGCCUGUCUGUGGCCUCUCUGCGCAGACUGUCUGGUGCCCCACCGGACAGUCCGGUGCACACCGGACUGCGCUGUCCGGUGCGCCACCAGGCGCUGGCUGACAGCCCGCUUGUUGGAUUUCUUUGCCGAUUUCUUCGGGCUUCUUUUGUUCUUGAGUAUUGGACUUCUGUGCAUCUUUUUAUGUCUUCUUUUGAGGUGUUGCAUCCUCAUUGCCUUGGUCCAAUUCUCUUCGCAUCCUGUGAACUAUAAUUAUAAACACUAGCAAACAUAUUAGUUCACGGAUUGUGUUGUUCAUCAAACACCAAAACUCGAUUGGCCAAAUGGCCCAGGGUCCAUUUUCCUUACAGCUACUAGGUUAGCAUCAAGAUGACACCAUUUGAGGCUUUAUAUGGCAGGCGGUGUAUCUCCCCUCUGUGCUGGGAGACCUUGGGAUAGAGAUCCCUGGUUAGUCCUGAUUGGGUUCAACAAACUUCAGAGAAGAUUCGGGAAAUUUGUCAGAAUAUUUUGGCCGCUCAGAGCCGUCAGAAGAGUUAUGCUGAUGUGAAGAGGCGGGAUUUGGAAUUUGCAGUGGGUGACCACGUCCUUCUCAGGGUAUCACCCACUAAAGGAGUUGUUCGGUUCGGUGUCUCCGAAAAGCUUAGCCCAAGAUAUAUUGGACCGUUCACUAUCUUUGCCCGGGUGGGCAGCUUGGCUUAUCGCUUGCAAUUGCCGGAUUCCAUGGCAAGGGUACACCCAGUUUUUCAUGUCUCUAUGCUGAGGAAGGUCUUGCGGGAUCCGGACCAUCAGAUUGAGAUGGAACCAAUUGUGGUGCAGCAGGAUCUGACUUUGGAGUGUCGUCCGGUGUGUAUCUUGGAAUCCUCGAAGCGUGUUUUGAGGAAGAGAUCAAUUAAGUAUGUCAAGGUCUUAUGGACUAAUCAGUCUGAGCGCGAGGCUACGUGGGAACUUGAGGAGCUGAUGCGGCAGAAAUAUCUGGAACUUUUUGUUGUGGGUAAGUGUUGUUGAUUCAUUAAUUUUUCCUUUUGUCGUUCCGAUAGAAGCGUCAGAAUUCGAGCUCGAAUUCUUUUUAAGGGGGUAGAGUGUGAUACCCGGUUUGCAAAGAGAAGUGGAGGUUAUUCCUUUUGUUCUUUUUCCUCAUUCGGGUGAUGCGCUUUGGGAAUUUGGAAUUUGUGGAAAACAUUCACCUAUAAGACAGUAGAAUUUCUUUGGUUAGUUGCUUGUGACGGGGUCGGGAGCUGUCAUGUGGGUGAGUUGGGCCUUGAACCUUGAUCCGGCCCAUUAGUCUCCCCUUAACCCUAGCCGCCCUCCCCCUAAUCCCCCUUUGUGCAGCCACCCCCCCAUUUCCCCUAGGCCUUGGCCGCCGCCCCCUCCCCUCUCUCAUCUUCUUCCUCCUCAAACCCUUGCAGCCAUCACCACCCAAAACCCUAGCCGCCCCCCCCCCAUUUUCUCCUCCCCCCUCCAAGGUGCAGCACUCCCGCGCGGUUCUCCGUCGUGUGGCUGCGAUCUCAAUUGGAGUUUGGAGGGAGGAAGAAGGAAGAAGGAAGGGAACAACCCAAGGUGAAUUUGUGUUUAACUUUUGUUGUUUUUGUGCUGCAAUCAAUUGGAUUAUGUGUUUAUCUUUGCGAAUCAGUAGAUGUGCUGUCCAGGAAUUUUGUGAGUGGGUGAACAGCAGUAGUUUUAGGGAUUUCUGGGCAUUUUCGUGGGUUAAUUAGUGGGAAUCAGUGGGAUAAUCAUGUAGAGCUUUGUCAUACCUUUCCAACGAGUACUUAUGCGCUCGAUUUGGAGUUAUAAUUCAGGAGAUAUCGUUGUUUGAAUCCGGGUAUGUUGCUGUCCAAAAAAAAACAGAUUUUUCAGGUGGGUGAACAACAGUAGUAUAGCAGUUUUUAGGAACUUUUCGUGGGUAAUUAGUGAUAACCAGUAUGAUAAUAAUAUAGGGCUUUGUCUUAUCUUUCCAAUGAGUACUUAUGCGCUUGAUUUGGAAUUAUAUUUUAAAAGAUAUCGCUGUUUGAAUCCGGGUAUGUCGCUGUCCAAAAGAGAAAAAAAAACAGAUUACAGAGUUUAUCUUGUGGACUGUUUUGGACUAAUUAGAUGUUGGAAUUUAAUUAUAAAUUGUAUACAAAACUUGUGGGGAAUUUUAUUUAAAUGCCUCUGGAGUUUUUGUUUGUUACCACUGCUGUCAUAAUUUUAGGGUUAUGAAAUUAUUAAGCAGCGCCGCUGCAGUUUGGUGGGUGUGGGGAGAGUUGUUACCCGCGGCGGGGUUUGAGAUUGUGCGUAGGUGCGGCAUCGUUUAUGAGUCUUAUUAUGUGAAACUGGUGCACUAAGUGUGUGUCAAAAACAGGUGGUGGACUUCCGGAUCGUACUUAGGGAUUUGCCCAAACUUCCGGUGAAGGCAAGUAAAACAGUGAUGGUUAUUCCGUCUGUUGAUUGAAGAGUCAUAUACUUGAUUAUGUUUAUGCUAUUUGUGUUCGUAUUCAUAUUCCUAAUUGGGUACCGUCGUUUGAAGUUAUUCAUGUUUUAUUGAUUAUACAUGUGGAGGGUGUGGUUUGAUCAUGUUAUCCAUGUGGUUUAUUAUGUGAAAUGGGUGGAAGUAUAUGUCUAGCACAUUUUAUUUGGGAAGAACUCAUGUUGUUGACAUGCAUAAUGCAUUCAUCAUCCAUUGCAUUGAAGUUUCGUCGUGAUCUUAUGGUCCGACCGUACCGGUACAAUGAGCAUCAUAUGUUGCCCGAGAAGGGGUAUGAUGCAGCUUCAUAUCCUUAGAGGUAUGAAGGCAGAAGUCAUACUGCAUCUGUAGCCAUGUGCAUUCAUGGGGGAAGUGUGGAACCUAUUAUGGUGAUGUGGAUAAUGUGGAUCUUUACUUUGUGAUUCAUCUUGGCAUUAAGUAAUUGAUUACUUGCUUACUUGCUGCAAAUUAAUAUUUAAGAAAGAAGUUGGGAACCACGUGGUUGCUUAUGCACGGUUGGUUUACAUUGUCUAACUGUUGUUUGCUCUUUUUUACUUGGUGAGAUGUGUCAUCUCACUCUUGCAUUGUCUGAUGCAGGCACAUGAUCUUUGCAUUGGGAAAGAAGGGAUGUAGCAGCACGGCCACCACACCUUUAAAUAAAGGAACCACUGCUUAAUAAUGAUAUUAAACAGGGAGGGUCAAGUCUAGGGGAUUAUUACAUUCUAAUCUUUUAUUGUAGUUGAACUGUUUUGUUUGGUGGGCUGAGUUGUCUAUCUUUUGUCUGGUCAUGAAUGUUCAUUUCUACUGUUGCAUUUCGAUUAUACUAUGUCAAUUAUCUUUCUUUUAUAUCCUAUAUAAACUCUAUGUUUCCCUUGUUAUGCUACUUUCAAGGGAGGUGCUGCCGGAUUCUGCAAUACUUUCUUUCUCUAUGUGUUGCAUAAGUUUUGUAGGAAGGGUUUUUGGUAACAUUCAUUGUGUGCGAUCACUAGGGUGUUACAACUACGCCAAAAGACUGCAUUACCCCUAAUAAUGGAGAGUGGGGCAGCCUGAUAGAGGCACACACAUAUCCAUUUUGGCGCCAACACUUAGCUGAAAUCAAAUUUGCACAUGAUCAAUUUGGCGCCAACAUUUUGAGCUAAAAUCAAAUUUGCACACGAUCGAUUUGGCGCCAAUAGUUUGGUGCAUUCACAGAAACAUCACAAUGCAGAAAUAUCUCAAAUCAAAUUACAAUUAUCAAAUAGUUUGGUGCAUUCACAGAAGCAACACAAAUAUACAUACCAUAAGACAACACAAUUCAAUAACACACCAUAGCAAAGUUCAUGAAGUUCAAAUACAUUUUUAUUCCAAAACAUGUAACCUAUGCUCUUGGAAACAAUCCGUUUGCGAUCCAAUCACGGAACUCAUUCAUAUUUUCAUCUUCUUCCCCUUCACGUGCAGUACUUGUACCAAGCUGUGAAGAAGAUGCUCCAAAGAGUGGCACGUAGUUCUCAUCAUGGUCACACAAAUUGAAGUCAUCAUCUGACAUAGAACUCUCUCUAAAAAAGUUAUGAAGAGUCAUGCAAGCAAUAAUUAUUUGGCUUUGUUUUGGCAUUGGGUAACCUGGAAAUUGCAGCAAAAUCCUCCACUUCAUUUUUAGGAUUCCAAAAGACCUCUCGAUGACAUUUCUAAGUGAAGAGUGGGUGUAAUUGAAGAGUUCUUUUUUACCUCUAGGCAUUGGACCUUGCCUGAAUUUUGGAAGAUGAUAUUUUUGUACCUUUGUAAGGUGCAAGGUAACCUGGCCGAUUAGGAUAGCCUGAGUCCACAAGGUAGAACUUACCUUGACAACAUAACAGAAUGGGUUAAUCACACAUACAAGUAAAAGAUUGAAAUAAUAGAACAAAUCAAAUGUUAUAACCUUGAAGUGGAUGAGAGAACUUAUGUCCAUACUUGUUAAUUGCAUCCUUGAAUACCCUGAUGUCAUGAAUCGACCCAGGCCAACCCACCACGACAAAAGUAAACCUCAUAUCGAAAUCACAAACGGCCAACACAUUUUGACUUGUGUAACCAUGUCUUCCAGUAUGUUGAACUGUCUCUGUUGUUGGAACUACCACAGGUAUAUGAGUCCCAUAAAUUGCUCCAAUACAUUUAUCAAAGAACAGAGAAAACCUUGGAGAUUGUAGCCUUUGAUGUAUAGUACCAAAUUCAAGGUCUUUUGGCUUAAUAAUAUCUGCUGCAAGUUUGUUGACACUUAACAAUACUUCAUUAAACUUCUUACUACGUGUAUAUGUUGAUCUACAAAAACAAUUUUCAGCUUGUCUCAUACUUUGAGGGGCACCACAUAUCCAUAAAAAUUGACCUAGUGCCUUAAUUGAUGACAUUCUCGUAGUUGAUUUCAAACCAUAUGACUCCACAAGCACAUUAUGCAAUUUAUGAAACACAUCAUUGUGCAUUCUAAACAUGUUGAAGCAUGUUGUCCUAUAACCUAGGGAUGUCAUAACCCAUUCGAAACUAGACUCAACAUGUUUUCUAUAAUCUGCUUUAUUCAUGUAGGUGUCAUAGUGUAACAUACCAAGGAUCAUACCCACCGUAGCAUAUUUGUUGUCAAUUUGUUCACAACUCAUCAAAUACUAUUCUAGGUCAUCAUCAUUUGAAUCUAAUUCUGAUUCCUGUAUACACAAAUAGAGAACAACAAUGAGACUUCAAAUUGGACAGUUGUGAACAUGUAACAGCAAUAAACAGUCGUGUAGAUGGAAAAUAGAACAACAAUAAACAGAAAUAUAACAUCAAUAAAGUGCCUGACUGCCUGUGCAGAUGGAAAUUAGGCAUAGGCACACACAUAAGUUAUUAAUUUCUGAAAUAAUUGCUUGAAGUCAUACAAGUUCUGGACUUCUAAUAAAUCUCAAACAUAAAACAUAACAUGUCCACAUAGGCACACACAUAUAUGAAAUACUACAUUACAUAUUAGUAGCCACUCAAUACUAAUAUGUCCACUUUAGCCACUAAACUCUUUGCACCAUCUCUUCAACCAAACAACCCUUCCUUCAUCUAUUCUAAAGUUUGUGAAAAUUGUCCGGUUGUACUUUCUCUCAAACAAAUUAGUAGCCACCCAAUACUCCUCUAAAACUUUUGAUAUUCCACAGUCCACAACUAGUUGCAAACACCUUUUGAUUUCUGUUGUUUCAUUUUCCUUAUCCACUGAACAAUGGCUCCUCUUUUGUUCAACCUUUGCUUUUGAUAUUUCAGCUAAUGUUUCCUUGUUAGAGGACCGAUUGUGUUCCAUACUGUCUAAAAAGCUUCUCAUCAUGUUAAACAUCGAACUUUUGCUCUUUUUCGGUGGACUAGAUGUUGUGUCACGUGCCGCUGCUAGGCCUUUUGCGAGUACUGCUUCUCAUUGGGCUAUUGAGAAUACCAUCAUCAUCUCCUUCCUCAUUCACAUCAUCUGCUUCAAUUGGAUAAUUAGCCUCCCCCGGAAUGCAUGACGAAUGUCCAUCUACAACAUAACCAUGAAACAUCUCCCGUAGGUAGUCUAGGUAAUAUGGUAAGCAUGUUCAGAGCUUCUUACACUCUGGUUUCCUCUGAAAACACAACAUCCACAAACAUAAAAUCAGAUCUGAAGUAUGACAUAUGAAAUGUAACAGAAUAACACACCCUACCUCUAUAUGUUUCUUCCACCAGUUGUCUGGUGCGGAGAUUGUAACAUCUACGUUCCUACCUAAACAUGUUUCUCCUUGUGACCACACAUGAAAAGUGUAUAAAGUCUUGCAUUGCGCCCACCUAUUUUUGAGUUGCUUGGUAGAGUGCCAUAGACCACACUUUUCUAAGAACUUUUGAGCAAUUAUCUUGUAACCCCUGUUUGACAUUGUACCAUUAGGGCAAUUACGAGCCCUAAUUUGUUUGACAGAUAGUUCACAGAACAUGUAAAUGUUUGCUUCUAUUCAAUUGGCCUUGUCAUAGGUUUGUAGUAAAAUAAAAAUUAUAAAAAACAUGAAUUACUAUAACAUGUAGUUGCUGGACAAAUAUACUAACUUGUAAUCUGCCAUCAUUUGCACUCUAUCAGUAAACUGCCUAACUUGUAAACAAAUAUAACAUGUAUACAAGAUUCUACAUGCCUAACUUGUAAAAUAAUAUCAGGAUAUAACUUACAAAGAAAUUCUACAUCAUGUAUACAAGAUUCUACAAAGUGGCUAUGGUAGUAAAAUGUCUUACUUCUAAACUAAUAUAACUUGUAAAUACACAAAAUUUGUCCAUCAUGUGCACACUAUAGAGCAUACAAUCCAGGAUUUCAUAUUACUAUAACAUGUAGUUGUUGGACAAAAAACAAAAUGAACUAUACAAUAUUACCAUGCUUGAGAUGCUAUCAUCGUUAUCCUCAUCCGUAUCGGGCCCAAAAACUUCAUCUCGAGUCCUUGCUCUGCCACGCCAUACAACAUUUGUCUCGAGUCCUUGAUCCCUAGAGCCGAUAAAUUGAUGGCCACCUCCUAUCCCUGGUGUGGUGCCUUCAGAACUAGUUCUAAGUCCACUCUUUGUACUGGUUCCACCUCCAAAGUUAAGCGACCAUGCAUGCCCACUAGUGGGUCUUGCACUGCCAUGGCAAGACUGGCCUGUACCAGUGGUCAAUCUAGGUGGAUGAAAGGAGGCAUGCUGAGUCUACUUGCUGGGGGCAAAGGGGGGAACCCCUUCUCAGGUAACCCAGCAUCGGGUUGGAUUAAUCCCGAGUAGGAACCAAGGUAGGGAAAUGUGUCAUCCUGAGAGUUGAGGUUAGUAUUUUCCACGACCUUUCCCAUUGAGGAUGAUCUACGAACAAACAAAGAGUGAAAGAGGGGUAGUUCUUCGGCAUUUUCGUCGUUUGCAGAAGAUGACCCCUGAGAGAAAAAAUCACAGAAGGCAUCUCCCUGGUUUUCCAUUGAUGGAAAGGGAAGGUUGGAAUAAGGCACAUCGACGGAUCUGUUCACGAUAAAGAAAUCACAAAAGGUUGAAGAAAUCACGAAAGGUUGAAGAAAUCACGGAUCUAUUCGUGGCUUGAGCUGUUCACGGGCUGACCUCGACAGAUCUAGCGGACAUACUCGACGGAUCUGUUUGCGGGCUGACCUCAAUGGCUGGUUUGCGGCGGGUCUGCACGAUGGCCGCGGUAGACUAACCUCGACGGAGGAGAAGAAGGGACAGGGAUAGGAGACAAGAGCAGGGACAGGGGAUCUAUUGCGGCGGCAUGAGCAGGGAGAGGUGAAUGAGACAAGGUGAACGAGACAAGGGAGACGAGAGCAGGGACAGGGGAGGGCAAGGGUUGGAAAAUUCACUUUUAGUCCGCCCUUUGUUGACUAGGGGACUAAUCUUUAGUCACCCCAUUUUAGUCACCUUGUCUGGUUUUUUAGUGACUAAAUUUUAGUCACUAAACUUUAGUCACUCGGAACCAAACGGGUGCUAAGUUCUACUCUGUUCCUUUUCCUGUUACGAACAUCAUCAUAUAAUGAUGAGAUGUAGAAGAUAGCAAACAAUAAUUUAAAUUAUCUUGUUUAUAUUAUUUCGUGCAUUGUACCUACUUUGUUCUAUUUUCAUACAUUCAUAGGGACAUAACGUAUAAGGGAGGGUUGGAUUAGACAACUUAAAAUAUACUUUUCAAGCUAGAUGCAAAAAAUUAAAUCAUCUAAAAUGGAGAUCCACAAAUGCCACAAAGAUGGGACAUACAACCUAGGAUUUGUAGAUCCCAUAGUGAUUAAUAAGAAUAAUAUAAUGUGAUAUCAAAAUGAUGCAUUGAAGAGAAUACUUACGUUCUUGUCGAUGCAACAUUGCAUAUAAUACAUACUUAUACCUUACAACUUCAAGUAAUUCAUAUUGUCUUGUUCCCUAAACCUUUUCCUAUCUAAAUACCCUAUCUAAUUUGCUAGCCCAGUUUACAAUUAUUCUGCUUACAUUGUCAUGAUGGAACAUGACAUCAUGCAUGUGGUAGAAUUGAUGAGGAAGCUAGUUUCAAAAUACCACAAAUGAAAUACUUUCAUAUUCGGUGCAUGGAUUAUCUUAUGAAAAAAUAAUGACAUCCUAAAAUAAAAACUUAAGCUUAAACUGUACUUUCUAGUAUGUAUGGAUCUGCACAUCUUACAUGUUGUUUGCCAAUAGUACUCAAUAACCUAUUUUCCUUUUUGUGGAUACUAUGUUUGUGAAUUCAAUAACUCACUCGUAGGUAAUAAGAUAGUGGUAAAGGAUAGUAUCGUAUUUAUGAAAACACGCAAUCCAUAUUUUCUGCAAAUAAUACUAUGUUCAAUGGUUCUGAUUUCCUAUAUCGAUUAGCUCUCAAAUGAUAGCUAAUAAAAAUGAAGAAAGAACUCAUCAUGUUGGAUGCGAUCGUGGGCAAUUCAAAAAACACUUAUAGAUUUCUUGUAUAACUAGGUUUUAUCCAAAGAUGGAGAGUUGCACUAGGGUGGAAGUAUUCCAUCAAAAUUCUAAGUUUUAUGAAUGGAAAUAUAUAAUAUAUAAUAACAGACACAAUACUUGUCCUUAUAUUUAUUUUAUAUAUUUUAAAUAAAAAGGCCAAAAAUGUAUCCAUUUUACAAUAUGUAUAUAUUACUAUUAAUACAUAAUGCUUUUAAUAUAUAUAUAUAAUUCCAUCGAAUAUACAAAUUUGAAUAUAUAUUAAUAGACGAUGAAGCUCACCUCAGAAAAUAUGAACAUCAAAUUCAACUUGUACGUAGACAAACGAAAAAGAUAAACUUGUUAGUGGGUUUUUGUCUUUUCAUUUCUCCACCUAUAAGUUAAUUUGAAGUUUAUAUUUUGUGAGGUGACUAAGGACAUCUAACAAUUGUUGCAAAAGUAUGUUAAAUUUCUUUUUAUCAUUACUUCACUUUUAGUUUUGUAGUGUUGAAGUUAUUAUCUUAUCUCAAUCAAAACAAUUAUGAAAAUUAUAAUAUAUUUUCUUCAUUAAGUUAUGGCAUUAGCUACUAACCAACAAAAUUUGAACCGAAAACUCACUCAGGUUGUACAUACAGAAAUUACUGAAAACCGCAAUUAUGAUGCAUUGAAGAGAAUGAUGCUUUGAAGAAUUAUAAUAAUAUAAUGUGAUAUCAAAAUGAUGCAUUGAAGAGAAUACUUAUGUUCUUGUCAAUGCAACAUUGCAUAUAAUACAUAAUUAAACCUUAAAACUUCAAGUAAUGUCUAUUCUCUUGUUCCCUAAACCUUUUCCUAUCUAAAUCCCGAUCUUAUUUGAUAGCCCAGUUUACAAUUAUUCUGCUUACAUUGGAUAAACUCCUUAUAAUCAUGAUGGAACAUGACAUCAUGCAUGUGGUAGACUCAAUGAGGAAGCUAAUCUCAAAAUACCAUAAACGAAAUACUUUCAUAUUCGGGACAUGGAUUAUCUUAUGAAAAAAUAAUGACAUCCUAAAAUAAAAACUUAAGCUCAAACUAUACUUUCUAGUAUGUAUGGCAAACACAUCUUACAUGUUGUUUGCCAAUAGUACUCAAUAACCAUUUUUCCUUUUUGUGGAUACUAUGUUUGUGAAUUCAAUCACACAUUCUUAGGUAAUAAGAUAGUGGUAAAGGAUACUAAAUUAUUUAUGAAAACACGCAAUCCAUAUUUUCUACCAAUAAUACUAUGUUCAAUGGUUUUGAUUUCUUAUAUCAAUUAGCUAUCAAAUGAUAGCUAAUAAAAAUGAAGAAAGAACUCAUCAUGUUAGAUCGAUCGUGGGCAAAUCAAAAAAGACUUAUAGGUUUCUUGUAUAACUAGGGUUUAUCCAAAGACGGAGAAUUGCACUAUGGUGGAAGUAUUUCAUCAAAAUUCUUAGUUUUAUGAAGUGAAAAUAUAUAAUAUUUAAUAGCAGACACAAUACUUUUCUUUAUAUUUAUUUUAUAGAUUUUUAAAUAAAAGGCCCAAACAAUGUAUAAAUUUUACAAUAUGUACAUAUUGCUAUUAAUAAAUGUUGGGGCCUUCGUCUUUCGAAGGUCGUCAAAAACAUGAUUUAACAAUGUUUCCCAAGUGUAAUAUAUGUACAGGUACCUUCGGACUCGGGUUAAAACUGUACACGAUAUGGAAAGCAUGGUCGAGACGAAGGUUGAUGCAGCUCCAAAGCUAUGCGCAAGGGAGCUUCGGCUCAGCAGAGGAAAAAGGAACCGACUUAAAAGGGAAAAGGCUAUCUAGUCCUCGUUGGGUUGUCCUUAAGCCAAUAGUAAAUAUAAAGGACAUGAAUGUAAUUUUACACAGGCUGUGCCCUGUGCCUAUAAAUAGAUGAACAGUACCCCUGUACUGUUCAAGCUGACUUGUACUCGCUCGUGCGUCACGUUUGUACCUUGGCCUUCUGUCAAGCCGAAGGUACAAAUGUAAUUCAAUAUUAUUCUUAUUCAUCCAUGAUUAUAUAAUAAGUACAUAUAAAUGAUGUUAUAUGAUUAUUCAUGUUUUUUCUGAUGUUUUGUAUGCUUCGUCUUUCAUCGAUGUAAACUGUGAUGAUGAAGGUAUGUCCUUCAUGACCUUCGUCCGAAGAUCGUUGUAUCCUAAAGGAAAUAAUGCUUCGAAGGACGAAGGCCAUUAACCAUUAACUUGUUUUUAUGUUGCCUUGUUCUUAAUUCAUAGCAUUUGAGAACAAGUCCCCAACAUUGGAGCCCACCUCCGGUGUACUCACUUACACAAUCUUCGGCAAAGCAUCAACCUUCGUCAUGCCGCCAAAGAAGAUAACAGCGCCAGGGGCUGCAUUGCAGCCAAUGGACACAAACCAGGAGACUCUCUAUCUCAGAGAGGCCAGAAGCCAAAAGAGAAAGGCCACCAGUCCAACACUUCAGGAGGAGGAGUUGGACCAGGAGAUCAGGGACAUGGAGAUCAUUCAUCAGCAGGUGCAAAGGAAAAAGGAGAAGAUGGCUCGGUUGGCCGAUCUUCAAAGGAAGAUCGAUGAAUCUACUGAGGAAGUGCGUCAUCUUACCUAAGAUGAUCAUGACCGAAGGCCUCAACACAGGGACCUUCGUUAAGAAGGCUCAUUCAAUGAAGAAGAAUGGUACGAUGAUUUUAAUCAUGGUACUUUUACCUUUGAUGAUGCUUCUCCCCUGGCAGCAGAAUUAUAGGCUAUCCCAUGGCCACAAUCCUACAAGCCACCCCAGCUACACAUGUACGAUGGGCACUCGGACCCAAAGCAAUUCUUGAUGAGCUAUGAGGCAACAAUAUCCUCAUAUGGAGGCAACACAACUGUCAUGGCAAAGUCCUUCGUCAUGGCAGUCCGAAACGUGGCCCAGACAUGGUAUUCUUCUCUUCGGCCAGGGACAAUCAUGUCAUAGCAGAAGCUCAAGGACAUGCUGGUUACCAGUUUUCCAGGCUUUCAGACAAAGCCAGUCACAGCUCAGGCCUUGUUCCAGUGCACACAAGACCAUGAGGAAUACCUUCAGGCGUAUGUCCGAAGGUUCUUGCGACUGAGAGCACAAGCGCCCAUAGUGCCCAAGGAAAUUGUCAUUGAGGCCAUGAUCAAGGGUAUUCGGCCAGGACCUACAUCUCAAUACUUUGCCAGGAAGCCCCCCCAAACUCUGGAGAAGCUGCUUCAGAAAAUGGAUGAGUACAUCCGGGCUGACAACGACUUCCGCCAAAGAAGGGAGGAAGCUUAUAGAUUCUCUGAGAUGACUAGGGGUUUUGGAGGAAGAAUCCACCCUAGGCAUGUUAGAUCAAUCCACAGCUCCAGUCAGAAUGAUGACAAAGGAAGCCAGCUUCAGAGGCCAUAACACACCUCACAGUCUUCGGGACAGUAGCAAAGCUCCUUCAGGCCACCAACUCCAAGGGGCAGAGGCGGCAGGGGCUUCAGAGGAAGAUAUGGGGAUUAGCACAGGAAAAUUUAUUGCUUAUUCUGUGGUGAGGACAAGGGACACACUACAAGAACGUGCCAAUCACUAUUCUGAAACAAAAGGAGAGCGCCGAAUGCGAAGCUCGGCAGAAUCAGCCGAAGCAGGUCUUGUACACUGCUUCGUGCCACUCUCCUUACAUACCAGAAUACGUGGGCAAUCAACCUGCAGCUUCUAUUGCUUCGGCAAGCCAUUCACAGGCUUCUUGGCCUCAGCUUCCACCGCCACCACCACUGCAACCUACUUAUUCCCGAAGCCAGCAGCCAUAAGGGCGCCAACACUCCCAGCAACAACAUGACUUCAGUGAGGAGUCCGAAGCUCGUAUAGUCAAUAGUAUUGUACCAUAAUCAAAGCACAUAUACUGAGUGAUAUCCUACUUUUGAAAUGCUUCUAUGUUCUAUGCCAUUUUGCUUUUUAAUAAGGAACCAGCAAUGUAAAUUUAGUUUUAAAUUCUUGUAAUGAUUUUGCUUCUAUCAGAAUGAAAUAUAUCUUCUUCACAGAAUUAUGAAGCUCAAAAGUCGUUCUUAAAGGAAUGCAGAGCUAAAUUUGCCGAAGCUACUAAAAAAGUCGUUCUUAAGGGAGCGCAGCGUAUGUUUUAAGCUCAAAAGACGUUCCUAAGGGAAUGCAGAGCUAAAAUUAAUGAAGCUACAAAAAGUCAUUCCUAAGGGAGUGCAGUGUAAGUUUUCUGCUCAAAAGUCGUUCCAAAGGGAAUGCAGAGCCAAAUACCACCGAAAUAUAAGGCGAAGAAGUUCAAAAGUCGUUCCUAAGGGGAUGCAGAACAUAUACCGCCGAAAUAGAAGGCGAAGAAGUUCAAAAGACGUUCCGAAAGGGAUGCAGAACUUAUAUCACCGAAAUAGAAGGUGAAGAAGCUCAAAAACCGUUCCUAAGGGGAUGCAGAGCUUGUGUGUUCUAGUGUGGGCGUGCGGGUGUGUGUCUUCGACAUCCUCAUCUUUUUUGCAUCAUAUCAUCACAUCAUCUUGCAUAAACAUCACAUCAUACAUCAUAUUGCAUCAAUGAUACGAGAAUUGAAUAUGAAGCUCAUCUUUGGCAAAUGCUUCGUCAAAAUAAAAAGGUGCUAAGGCACGAAGUAAGUUUUGGGAAAUAUAGUUUUAUUAGCCUUGUCACAAGAAGGGAUCUCUUUUUACAAAGCUUGGAUAUCUUUCUUUACAAAGCAUGGAUCUUUUUCUUCACGAAGCAUGAAAAGAAGGGAAGGUGUUUUUUCGCCGAAGGCUCAAAAACGGUAUGUGUGUAAAUUUCAUGCAUCGCAAAGAAAUAAACUGCAAUAAUUUACAUAUUCAAUUCAACACUCUAAAUAUUACAUAGUUUUGUUACAAUAGAAACCUAAUCUUCCUUCAUUUGUUACAUACAUCAAGCUUUUCAAAAUGUUUAUUACAAUAAAAUCUAGUCCUCUUUAAGAAUUUUCUCUGCAACUUCAUUCAGCAAUUUUCUCGUCUUCCUUGACUUUGUUUACCAGUGAAAUUAAGAUUUUGUCUUUUUCAAGACCUUCAUUUCUCAAUUCAAUCACCUCUGAACGAAGGUUGUUCAGAGCCAUUGUAUAGCUUGCGUCUUAGAUAUUCUUUUGUGCCCUCAGGGCAUUACUGAGAAUCAAGCCCUGUAGCAAAAGAGAAGAAAGAAUUGAGCAUGACAAAUAAAGUACGUCAUUCUCAAAUUCAAAGCUAACUUCUACACCUUUAUACUGUUGUAUGCUAGGCUGUCAGCAAGAUCAUCCUUCGACAAAAUCGAAGAGCAUCUUCUAGCUUUGGAAAUCCCAUACUCUUGCCUAUCUCCCGGCAAACAGAUAUUUCUUUAUUAUCCGGGUGACAAUAUAAGAAAUCGUCAUCAUUAGUGUCUGGCUUCCAGAGUUUCUUCUUCAGACAGUUUUUUUUCGUGAAGUGUGUCGAAUGAUGUAGUCAACAUUUUCGAUUAGAGCUUUUGUGAGCAGGAGUCUCGAUCUUUUCAGGUGCAAUCUAUUCUGCCGUCUUUUCCUUAGGCGCGGCAGGCUUCACCGCGGCUGGCGCUGAAGGCCCAGCUUCGGCCUCAGCCUGAGUUUUUGUAGCUUCGACUUCUGCUUGCCCAGUUUCGGCUUCGGUUUGCGCUAUGGCAGCUUCAGCAAUUUUCUUUAUAGGUGCAGGACUCAAGGCCUUUGUACUCUCCAGCAUAGCAUCCAGCACAUUAGCCAUCCUCCUCCUCUUGGGAGUUGCGACAGAAGCCUUUUGCACCUUCGACAGUUUUGUCUCUGUCAGAGGGCUUAGAAUUCUUGGCACUUUCAUUAUUUCUUCAAUGUUUGACUCUUUAGCCUUAUCAACCUUAGCCUCGACUCGCUCGGCUAUGGGUACCUUCGGCGCUACGGUCGCCUCUUCAGUGCUCUGUGCAAUCAGAGCAGUUUGUGUUGCUUCGGCUGCUGAGGAGGACCCUGUUCCGAAUUUAGGCACUACGGCCGGUUCAAUAUAACGCGACCGGUGGGUCAGAACCUUCACCCUUUUGCUCUUCGGCACAGGCUCAGCUAGGAUGACCAAAGCAGCAAUCUUCCUCUUUUUCUCUUGCCCUCGCAGCGGGUACCGAUAAUCGGGGUAUAUGAAGUCGAUUGCAUCAAAACCCUGUUCAGUCUUUUCUUCCCCCAACCUCCGAAGGCUGCGAACAGAGCAUUAUCUUCGGCUUGGAGUAAGCUCCAAGAAGCUCAUCGCUGGUAGCUUCAAUACACUUCAGCCAAUCGUCGUUUGGCUCAUCAAACUUCUCCCUAAUUCUGAAUGUAUAUUUCAGUCGGACCAGACCACCAUCACUAGAAUCAGUGGUGGUCUCCUUUGGCAUUUCCCAGAUUUUCACAAGCGGCCAUACCCUGAAGGAUAUAUGUUCUUGAAUCAAAUCUCUUAUGCCAAUGAAGGAGCAAACAGUGCUGAAAGCCCUCUGACACGCUUCGACAGCAUCAUCAAUUUCCACCUUCGACCUUCGAAGGCCAAAGCGUGACCAGAUGGGGCGCUGGAUGAUAUCUUUGUUGUCUUCCCUUGCCUUUAAAUCAUUCUUCACAUAAAACCAUUCCUCUAUCCAGGCUCCGGGCCAUCUCUUCCGGAAUGUUGGCACCAGGUGGCUUGCGUUGGGGCGAGCGAUAAAUCCAUAACAACCGAAGUUGUUGUGGUACUGUUCCUUACCAGUGGCCUUCAUCUCAUAUAAAAGUUCGUGCAUACUGCAGAAGCACUUCGCGCUUGGCUCUAGCCCUUGACUCCUUACUGCCCAGACAAAAAUCCCCAUCCUCAUUAUAGCUUCGAGGGUGAUGUGAUGAAGGAAGAUCUGGAAUAUCUUCAGCACUUCAACAACAAACUUGCUUAAAGGGAACCGAAGACCAGCCUUAAAAAAGCUUCGGUAGAUAACAACUUCAUUCUCCUCAGGGACAGGGGCCGUGUUGUCCCCGCCAACUCUCAUGAUAGAUAUGUCGCGAAAGUACCUUCCUCUCAUAUUGUCAAGAUGACUCUGUUUAACAAUCGAUUUCCCGAAGACAGUAUGGCUUGGUCGCCACGGUCGAUCUUCGGAAUCUUCGUCUCCACUCUCCACAUCAUAACUAUCACUGUCAUCAGUAUCUUCAAACAAAUCUUCUAGAAUCUCUUUAGUAAUCUUCUCUGUGUUUGUUCUUGACAUAGAUUCAACAAACCCGACGAUAAAAGGAUCCGCGGUUUUCUAUUCUUCAAAUAACUUCGUCUCCUCAGUGAGCUUCGUUUCUGCAGUCAUUUUCUUUUCCUCCAUCAUCUUCUCCCCAGACAUGGUGAAACACAUCCUUAAACAGAAGCUCGAAAAGCUUGAAACUUAGGCGAGACCUAGUGAGCAAGAGCUAAAAAGUUUGAGGAAAUCACGCAAAUAGUGGAAAUGUCGUAUCAAAUGUUGCCGCUAUGGUUUAUAUUUAUACGCCUAGUGCAUUGCAACUUGGUGGGCCCUGUCUGUCAUUGACUAUUGCUAUUCUAGCAAAAGGAAGGUGUUUUUUUGGACCUUUGGCUUAAGGCCUUCGUCCAUGUCACAGUCUGAAUUCGUUAUUUUAACAAAUUAAUACUGCGAGGGGCUACUGUUGGGGGCCUUUGUCUUCCGAAGGUCCUCAAAACAUGAUUUAACAAUGUUUCCCAAGUGUAAUAUAUGUACAGGUACCUUCGGACUCGGGUUAAAACCGUACACGAUAUGGAAAGCAUGGUCGAGACGAAGGUUGAUGCAGCUCCGAAGCUACGCGCAAGGGAGCUUCGGCUCAGCAGCGGAAAAAGGAACCGACUUAAAAGAGAAAAGGCUAUCUAGUCCUCGUUGGGUUGUCCUUAAGCCAACAGUAAAUAUAAAGGACAUGAAUGUAAUUUUACACAGGCUGCGCCCUGUGCCUAUAAAUAGAUGAACAAUACCCCCGUACUGUUCACGCUGACUUGUACUCGCUCGUGCGUCACGCUUGUACCUUGGCCUUCUGUCCAGCCGAAGGUACAAAUGUAAUUCAAUAUUGUUCUUAUUCAUCCAUGAUUAUAUAAUAAGGACAUAUAAAUGAUGUUAUAUGAUUAUUCAUUUUGUUUCUCAUGUUUUAUAUGCUUCGUCUUUCAUCAAUGUAAACUGUGAUGAUGAAGUUAUGUCCUUCAUGACUUUCGUUCGAAGAUCAUUGUAUCCUAAAGGAAAUAAUGCUUCGAAGGACGAAGUCCAUUAACCAUUAACUUGUUUUUAUGUUGCCUUGUUCUUAAUUCAUAGAAUUUGAGAACAAGUCCCCAACAAUAAAUAAUGCUUUUAAUAUAUAUAUAAUUCCAUCAAAUAUACAAAUUUGAAUAUAUAUUAAUGGACGAUGAAGCUCACUGUAACACCCCGUGGUCCACAAACACCCCGGAAUGCUACUAAACAACACUUCUGACAUCUAUAUAUAAAAUUUCGGCAGCAUCCCCUUUGCAAAUUGCAUAAAUGAGGGGGCAAUAGUGUAUAAACUUAUAUCAUGACAAAAACAUACUAAGUAUUAUUAAUUGGCUAGCAAAGAGAAGUUAAACAUACGACAUGAUCUGAAUUAACUAGUGCGCACGACUAUUUAAAAAAAACAAACUUCCUUUGACAAUAAGUUCUAAUUAAAUCAUGGCUGCGCCUGGGCAGCGUUAUUGUGAGAGUGAAAGUGGACGUGCUGCUACUCCCCUCAUUCCCAGCAUGUAUAAAGUACCUGCAUUGAGUAAUGCAAGAGUGAGAUGACACAUUUCAGCAAGUAAAAUAAUAUCAAACUGUUUAACCACAUAAGAACAUUGUUUUACCACCACUUGAUUCCACAAACUUCUUAUUACGAAGGUGCAACACGUAUACAACGUACAACACACCUAGUCACCACACCUCACAGGUGGAAACCACAAUAGUAACAUAGUAAUGUCACACUUCAUAUAUGCCUCAUGAGUGCAAAUGUCUGCAAAUGCAAGGAUGACUUCUGCCUUCAUACCUCUAAGGAUAUGAAGCCACAUCGUACCCCUCCUCGGGCAAGGUACGAUGUUAAAAAUGUACCGGUACGGUCGGACCAUAAGAUCGCGACAUAACUUUAAAAUGCAAGAUGGAUGAUGCGAUGUGCAUGUCAUGCCUACAACACUUCAUAUAACGUGAUUCAAAAAGAUACUUCAACUUCAUCCAAGAUGGGAAUCAACCACAUAUAUCAUUACCAAAUUAUGAUCAUCCAUAAUAUUAGACAAUUGAGAAUUAAUACUUCCAAACAAAUAAACUUCAUCAUAGAAUUCAAUGAUUAACAUAAUUAAAACUUAUGCAUACUCAAUGACAGGGAUUAGGAUGCAACCCAAACGGUAGCAACCACCACUGUAUUUACUUGCCUUUACCGUGAGUUCGGGCAAAUCCCUAAGUACGAUCCGGAAGUCCACCACCUGUUUUUGACACACAACUUAGUGCACCAAUUUCACAUAAUCAGGCUCAUAAACGAUGCCGCACCUACGCAUAAACUCAAACCCCACCGCGGGUUACAUCUCUCCCCACUCCCACCAAACUGCAGUGGCGCUGCUUAAUAAUUUCAUAACUUUAAAAUUAUGACAGCAGUGGUAACAAACAAAAACUCCAGAGGCAUCUACAUAAAAUUCCCCACAAGUUUUGUAUACAAUUUAUAAUUAAAUUCUAACAUCUAAUUAGCCCAAAACAGUCCACAAUAUGAACCCUGUAAUCUGUUUUUUUUUUGUCUUUUGGACAGCGACAUACCCGGAUUCAAACAGCGAUAUCUUUUAAAAUAUAAUUCCAAAUCAAGCGCAUAAGUACUCAUUGGAAAGAUAAGACAAAUCCCUACAUGAUUAUCAUACUGGUUAACACUAAUUACCCACGAAAAAAUCCCAGAAACUGCUAAUACUACUGCUGUUCACCCACCUGAAAAAUCUGUUUUUUUGGACAGCAACAUAACCGGAUUCAAACAACGAUAUCUCCUAAAUUAUAACUCCGAAUCGAGCGCAUAAGUACUCGUUGGAAAGGUAUGACAAAGCUCUACAUGAUUCUCCCACUGAUCCCCACUAAUUUCCCACGAAAAAUUCUCAUAAAUCCCUAGAACUACUGCUGUUCGUCCACCCACUAAAUUUCUGGACAGCACCUCUACCAAAUCGCAUAGGUAAACAUAAACCAAUUGGAUUGCAGCAUAAAUACAACAAAAUGAUCACGAAAAUCACCUUGAGUUCCUCCUUUCCUCCUUCUUUUCUUCCUUCUUCCUCCCUCCAAACUCCCAUGGAAGACUCGCACCCACAUGACGGACACCAAGCGGGGAGGCUCCACCUUGGAGAGGAAGAGGUGGGGGCGGCUAGGGUUGAGGGGUGGAGCUGCAAUCACUUGGGGAAGAAGGAGAGGGAUUGGGGCGGCUGCAAGAGUGGAAGAGAGGAAGAGAGAGGGGGGGCGGCCAAAGGGGUGGGGGAGUGAGAGGGAGGGGGCGGCUAGGGUUAGGGGGGGAACUAAUGGGCUCCCCACCGCCGGAUCGAGAUCCACGGCCCAAACUCGCUCUCACAUCUGCUCCCGACCCCAGCGCACAAAUCCAACAAGUAAUCUACUGUUUUACUGGUGAAUGCUUCCUAAAAAAAUCUAACCCCAACUACAUAGAUCACGAAAGAAAAGGGAAAAUAAUUUUAACUUCUUUUCAGAAAAUUGGGUAUCACACUCUACCCCCCUUAAAAAGAAUUCGACCUCGAAUUCCGACGCUUCUAUCGGAACGACAAGGAAAGAUCAAUGAAUCAACAAAACUCACACAUAAAGAAAGGUUCUAAGAUACGCAGCAGACGACACUCUAGAGUCUGGUCUUGCUACACAGGAAUCGGCUCUAGCUCGAUUUGAUGGUCUGGAUUCCGCAAAUACUUCCUCAACAUAAAGACAUGGAAUACAUGGUAUACUCUGAUCGUAGACUCCGACAAUUGUAGGUGCUAAGCCAAGCUGCCAACUCGGGCUAAGAUAGUAGACGGUCCUAUAUAACUCGGACAAAGCUUUCCUGACACCAAAUCAACAUUGACACAUGCAAAUACUUCAAUGAAUAUAUAUAUAUAUGAAUGCAAUACAUACUGUGCUCAAAUAGCCUAAACCAAACCUAUCCAAACAAGAGUAACUUCAAAAGAUCAAUUUAAUGCUGGCAUAUUUCUAGACAGCAACACAAUGAUUAUUUGUUUUCCUCAUAACUCACAAAAUAUGCAUCCAAUAGAAGUAAACUAGGACUUUAUGGAAAGCUUACAAAGUCCACUAUACCCUUGGUAUUAUCAUCACCACAAGAUUUGACACUUAGAAAGGCCAAACAAUGCGAAACGUAAAUUUUGUCCAGACUUGGACAGAAUUCAACUACUCACUUCAAAAAUCCAUAAUUGGAGUCUCAGUCAUCCAAUUCAGGCGCUCCUAGACUUUUUAGAAAGCCAGUAAAAUUGUCUAUAUUUCAUUUAUAAACCUAUUAGGUUAAUUCAAUGCAUAUCAAGAUCAAAAGACAUAAGAAAGGCUUUGUUGUCCAAAUUUGGACAGAUUCAAAGAUUCCAAUUAAAACAGUUGUAGCUUAACUUAUAGGUCAACAAAAAGGGUGAUCCAAAAUUUGUUGGAAAGCUUAAGGAAAGUACUACCACUUCUUUAUAAUUUAUAAGAACUGAUUCGAAGUUUAACUUGGGCAAACAAGGUCAGUUUCGAAAUCUAUAUAGAAUCUGGAUAGAUUCCAAGACUAGACUUGAGAAAAUCAUAACUCCCAAACUACUAGACCUAUGGUCAUGAAAUUUUACACAAGUAAGAUGAAGAAGUUGGCUACAACUUUUUAUAUACAACACCUCUACCGAAAACAUGGUGUAAUUCAUUGAACUAGCGGCAUAACCAAAACUGGUCAUGUAGUCCCAAACAGCAAGCAAUGGAUUUAUUCAGGUUCUAUACUCUUCUAAGAUUAAGAGUUCAUCGAAGGACUAAUAACUUUAGGUUCUUCAUUACGAGACACUUAGAGCCAACAUAAGGGUAGAAGAAAUAUGUUUAGUUUUUAAAUCAUUUUAAGCCUGAUCUCACAUCAUGCAAGCAAGAAUCGAUUUAAGCGUACUAUGCCUGCCCAUAUAUCCAUCCAAGCACAUUCUAUACAUUAUAUCAUCCCAUUGAAGAACUCUCUCUUUUUUUUAACUAUACUAUGCAUAUAUAUAUAUCCAUCCAAUAACUCACACAAUCUUCAUCUCCACAUAGACUUCACACGACGUAACUAUUUCAUACUUACGCAAACACGCCAAGACCAGAAAACAUGGCUUCACAACAAUACGUAAUGACAUAUUCAAAUAUUCCUCGUUAUGUCUCUGUUUCAGCCCAACUAUCAAAACCACUACAUCUAUUCCCUCCCACCAUACAACAUAAUUAACAUGGUUUGCGAAAGAGCUCACCAUAACUAAACCAAACUCCCAAAGAAAUAUCCCUAAAUAGAAAAUUGACAAUCAACAGCACAAAUGCUCAUUCUGUCUCUACCUCUUUCACUAUAAAAGCAAUGUUAACAAAGAAAUAUUGUAAAAUCAACUAAACUUCAUGACCUACAACUUUUGUAUUCAAAGGAUAAACAAAGUUUUAUUUUAUCUCCAUUUUUUUAAUUUGACUUGUAAGGCGACAUACAUGAUCUGCCACCAGAAUCUGACGGAACAUGGCCCAUAAAUUCAAAACCUCAUAACUCUCUGCAUCUAACAAAAUUUUACAAAUAUAAACUCAUUGAAAAGAUUAUAACAUUCCAUAAAACUUUUAUUAUAAUGAGUGUCUCAGAAUUGGUUUCCAAACCAAUAAAACAAUGCAACUGCUUUGUUGCAAAACUAAUAGGUUAGAAACAAUGGACAACUAAAAUUCAAAAUACUAUAACUCCUGCUAUACUCAACUUAAAACUACAACGAACACGCGUUGGAAAAGUUUGGAAAUUGUCCACGACUUUUGCAAUAAAGUUACACCCAAAUUUAACUUUAUAGCCCUCAACUCUGCAUGACCUACAGCUAAACUCAGCCUGAGAUACUGCACAUCAGAGAUUCGACUUAUAUCUGGACAACCACCUCUCCCAAUCUAUUUAACAGACAAUUACAAGUAAAUACCCAUUAAAAGGUACAAAGAAAAACUAAAAGUUUUUCUUAAAGAGAAUUCCCAAAUUUGGGCUCUGAAACUAUCAAAACGCGGUCGAUUCAUUAGUGGUUUUAACGACACCUAAAGUUCAGACACAACGGUGCAACAACUUCAGAGUAGCCUAACUCCAAUUAUAUGCAAUGAAAAUUACAAACCAAUACUCUUUUGGAAGAUCAUGAAAUUACUAAAACUUUCAUAAUCCAACAAAACCCAAAAUUUACCGUAUUCAAUGUCUAUACUUCCAUACAAAAUUAAGGCUGCUAUAGAAAACCCAUAACUCUCAAAUGUUUAGACCAAACUGGGUGAUUGAGCAUCCUAUACAAAGAUGAAGAAACCUACUACAAAACAUUCCAGAUAAGUGAAGCCUGAUUCAGCCUCCAACUCAUUUAAAAUGACUCCCAAAACAAAACAACACCUUACCCAUAAUAAAAAAAACAAUAUAAAAUAAAACCCAAGGCAUUGGCAGGUGUGACCCACACUAGGAUUUUCCACUACCAAAUGGGGAUGCAACUCCCCAAAACCUUUAAACCACACUUUACCUAAUAGGUUAGAACACUAAGCACAACAAUCAACGAAUUCAUCAACCUCGUUUGUUAAUGCCACUAAGGUCAAACAUCCAUGUAUCGACAAUGUAUGAAACACCUGACAUACCCGCCUCUAGCACUAUAAAACAUGGUUGUUAUUACACUAGAAUCCAACUAUUAGAUCUCUCCACAACUAUUCUGUUGACGUGAAGCAAAUGGUGCUCAUGUCAUGUAACGUCUUUUCCUCCUCUCAAAAGAGAUAAAAUUUGCAAUACUCAUAAAGCAAUGGAGGGAUAACAACAAGAAAACUAAUGUACUUCUUGACACAGACUCAUGCAAAAGCUUCAUAAAUAUUACUUUCAAUACUAAAAUAAUAACACGAUACUAUGCUCAACAGGAGUAAUUGGACGUCAAUAAGACAAUCCACAUAACCAAGCUACCUUGAUUAACCUCACAUACCACAAAAACUACUAUUACUGCACUUGAACAAUUUGUACCUCGUGAUAUCACAGGAUGCAUUCAAAGUAGUAGACAUACAUGAUCUAUCAAACCAUCAUUCAUAUAAGAAAAAUCUCAAUCCGAUGCAACAACCCCAUCAUUAAAGAGAUAGAUGACUAACAAACAUAAGCAACUCCCAGUUAAGCAUUGACUUUGUUUAAGAUAAAGCGGUCCAAAUAAUGAUUCAACAAGCGUGCAUAGAGAAACUGCUCAUAAAAAAAUCGAACUGCCAUACAAUGUUGGCAAAUAAAAAAAAUAUAAAACGGGUUGUCAAUAUCGCCCACAUGACUAGCCUGCAACAACUAAAAACUAUGCAUAGCCUUUAUGGCUAUUGAAACAAGCCAUAGAAGGAAAACAUGCACGACAUAAAAUCCACUUGAAACCACCCUAUUUAUUGUUAAAAAUAAGGUUGCACAUAAUAAGAAAAUCUAUCAGGUAGACAUGGUUGGACUUAUCAAUGUACGUCAUCUCACAAAUUCACUCGAGUUCUACCAGUCUAAAGAUUUCGUAGACAUUACAACGUUGCCUCUGCUCUAUAGAAACAAACCAAUUUUAUACUAAGAUCAAGUAAGCAAGUAGCCACACUAGCCUAAAAAAGUGAGGUGCAAAGCAUUGCACCCAUGGAAAUAUUACAUUGAUAAGUUGGGUUGGAAAUAUUACAUUGAUUAGUUGGGUUGUUACCCAAUAGUCAAUCAAACUCAACAACACCAUAAAACUACAUUAUAUAGUGUUUUCACACUACACCAAGUCGGAUUAGACCCAAUAUACACAAGCUCAAUAAACAAUCGGUCCUAUAAGUACAAGAACCCAAGAAUCCUUUUGGGGAAAAAAACAUCCACAAUCAAGCAUAUAGAAAUAUAUGAUGGUAAUAGCUCAGAGAUUUGAAAACAUUGCAUCCCAAAAAAACAUCAUGACGAUAUGUAUAUAAAACAAGUACAUUAGUAGCUUCACUUGCAUAAUAUCUUCAAUAACAACCACAUCAAGAAACCAAUAUUAAAUAGAAGUAACAUAUCAUAUCAAGCAUUACAUCGUUAACGACAUACCCCAUCAAACCACAAAGGGAUUUGGAGUAAGGAAGUUCUAGUCAUCUAUACAAUAAAAUACUAAUAUGAAAGAUAUACGAACCCAUACCCUUCCUAUAUGUGCAAGUGUGUCAAAUUUAUCUUUAAAUUGCGUAGAAUCUACAGCCUAUCCUCUGAUACCAACUGUAACACCCCGGGGUCCACAAACACCCCGGAAUGCUACUAAACAACACUUCUGACAUCUAUAUAUUAAAUUUCGGCAGCAACCCCUUUGCAAAUUGCAUAAAUGAAGGGGCAACAGUGUAUAAACUUAUAUCAUGACAAAAACAUACUAAGUAUUAUUAAUCGGCUAGCAAAGAGAAGUUAAACAUAUGACAUGAUCUGAAUUAACUAGUGCGCACGACUAGUUAAAAAACAAACUUCCUUUGACAAUAAGUUCUAAUUAAAUCAUGGCUGCACCUGGGCAGCGUUAUUCUAAGAGUGAAAGUGGACGUGCUCCUACUCCCCUCAUUCCCAGCAUGUAUAAAGUACCAGCAUCGAGUAAUGCAAGAGUGAGAUGACACAUCUCAGCAAGUAAAAUAAUAUCAAACUGUUUAACCACAUAAGAACAUUGUUUUACCACUACUUGAUUCCACAACCUUCUUAUUACGAAGGUGCAGCACGUAUACAACGUACAACACACCUAGUCACCACACCUCACAGGUGGAAACCACAAUAGUAACAUAGUAAUGUCACACUUCAUAUAUACCUCAUGAGUGCAAAUGUCUGCAAAUGCAAGGAUGACUUCUGCCUUCAUACCUCUAAGGAUAUGAAGCUGCAUCAUACCCCUCCUCGGGCAACGUACGAUGCUAAAAAUGUACCGAUACGGUCGUACCAUAAGAUCGCGACAUAACUUCAAAAUGCAAGAUGGAUGAUGCGAUGUGCAUGUCAUGCCUACAACACUUCAUAUAACGUGAUUCAAAAAGAUACUUCAACUUCAUCCAAGAUGGGAAUCAACCACAUAUAUCAUUACCAAAUUAUGAUCAUCCACAAUAUUAGACAAUUGAGAAUUAAUACUUCCAAACAAAUAAACUUCAUCAUAGAAUUCAAUGAUUAACAUAAUUAAAACUUAUGCAUACUCAAUGACAGGGAUUAGGAUGCAACCCAAACGGUAGCAACCACCACUGUAUUUACUUGCCUUUACCGGCAGUUCGGGCAAAUCUCUAAGUACGAUCCGGAAGUCCACCACCUAUUUUUGACACACAACUUAGUGCACCAAUUUCACAUAAUCAGGCUCAUAAACGACGCCGCACCUACGCACAAACUCAAACCCCGCCGCGGGUUACAUCUCUCCCCACUCCCACCAAACUGCAGCGACGCUGCUUAAUAAUUUCAUAACUUUAAAAUUAUGACAGCAGUGGUAACAAACAAAAACUCCAGAGGCAUCUACAUAAAAUUCGCCACAAGUUUUGUAUACAAUUUAUAAUUAAAUUAUAACAUCUAAUUAGCCCAAAACAGUCCACAAGAUGAACCAUGUAAUCUAUUUUUUUUGUCUUUUGGACAGCGACAUACCCGGAUUCAAACAGCGAUAUCUUUUAAAUAUAAUUCCAAGUCAAGCGCAUAAGUACUCAUUGGAAAGAUAAGACAAAGCCCUACAUGAUUAUCAUACUGGUUAACACUAAUUACCCAUGAAAAAUUCCCAGAAACUGCUAAUACUACUGUUGUUCACCCACCUGAAAAAUCUGUUUUUUGGACAGCAACAUAACCGGAUUCAAACAAUGAUAUCUCCUAAAUUAUAACUCCGAAUCGAGCGCAUAAGUACUCGUUGGAAAGGUAUGACAAAGCUCUACAUGAUUCUCCCACUGAUCCCCACUAAUUGCCCACGAAAAGUUCCCAGAAAUCCCUAGAAUUACUGCUGUUCGUCCACCCACUAAAUUUCUGGACAGCACCUCUACCAAAUCGCAUAGGUAAACAUAUAACCAAUUGGAUUGCAGCACAAAUACAACAAAAUGAUCACGAAAAUCACCUUGGGUUCCUCCUUUCCUCCUUCUUUUCUUCCUUCUUCCUCCCUCCAAACUCUCAUGGAAGACUCGCACCCACACGACGGACACCAAGCGGGGAGGCUCCACCUUGGAGAGGAAGAGGUGGGGGCGGCUAGGGUUGAGGGGUGGAGCUACAAUCACUUGGGGAAGAAGGAGAGGGAUUGGGGCGGCUGCAAGAGUGGAAGAUAGGAAGAGAGAGGGGGGCGGCCAAAGGGUUGGGGGAGUGAGAGGGAGGGGCAGAUAGGGUUAAGGGGGGAACUAAUGGGCUCCCCACCGCCGGAUCGAGAUCCACGGCCCAAACUCGCUCUCACAUCUGCUCCCGACCCCAACGCACAAAUCCAACAAGUAAUCUACUGUUUUACUGGUGAAUGCUUCCUAAAAAACUCCAACCCCAACUACACAGAUCACGAAAGAAAAGGGAAAAAUAAUUUUAACUUCUUUUCAGAAAAUUGGGUAUCACACUCACCUCAUAAAAUAUAAACAUCAAAUUCAACUUGUACGUAGAGAAACGAAAAAGAUAAACUUGUUAAUGGAUUUUUGUCUUUUCAUUUCUCCACGUGUAAGUUAAAUUGAAGUUUAUAUUUUUGUAAGGUGACUAAGGACAUCUAACAUUUGUUGCAAAAAAUAUGUUAAAAAAAUUUUAUCAUUAUUUCACUUUUAGUUUUGUAGCCUUGAAUUUAUUAUCUUAUAUCAAUCAAACAAUUAUGAAAAGUUAUAAUAUAUUUUCUUGAUUAAGUUAUAGAAUUAGCUAAUGACCAACAAAAUUUGAACCGAAAACUCAGGUUGUAUAUAUAGAAAUAAAAAGAUAAACUUUGUUAAGGGGUAGAUUGAACCAACUCAAAUAGGUGCAGGGGUAAAAUAAACUAAAAAAUACUUUAGGGAGAUAUAUGGACAUCGUCCAUAGAUGAUGGAAGUUAUAUAAUAUAUCUUAUUUAGUAUUGUUUAUAUGCACUAAUCAGUACAAAGGGGGUCCUAGAGUUUGGUCACAUAAGCAUCUUUACUAUCGGUUGAUGGAUAGAACCACAAUAGUAAAACCAGGAGUUUCUGACGGCUUAAACCGUCGGACAUAAGAGCUAAACCAUCGAACUUAACCUAUUUCUGACGGUAUAUCCCUUAUGUCCGAUGGUAGAUGUCCCUUGGUCGUAAUAUGUUGGAAAUAGCGUUCUUCCGGCAACUUGUACCAUUUCUACAAAAAAAAACAGUGUUAUACCAUACAAGAAACCAUUAGAAACAAAAAUGAGAUAGAGAAAUUAGUAAAAAAACAUACCCACACUACAUCCCAAACUAGUGCAUGUGUGUUGCCGAACGUUCGACACACACCACUUUGAACAAGUCGUCGAUCCAAGUCGUGCAAGCACAAAACAAUGUAGAAAUAAAUACAUGUCUUGUGAUAACAAUUAAACAAAACUAUGUCACUAACUUUUUCACUUGGCUUUAUCAAAACCCGGGACUCGGGUGGAAGCUCCGGAAGUGGUCCAACAAAAUGUAGCUUCCUCGGUCUCCUAACUUGAAAAGAUCUAGACCCAGAUGUGGAAUCUAGCUCCACCAGCAUCAGUAUCCAUACAUGCUGAAUCUCCACCAACAUCGUCUCAAGCAUCAUCUCUAACAUCAUCUCCCACAUCAUCUCUCGCAUCAUCUACCUCAUCCUCUACCACUGCACCAACUACAACAUCUCCUCUUGACUGUCGCUCGAUUUCAGCAUCCUAUGAAACAAGUAACUUACAUCAUGUAACAUCAAGUAACAUACAUAAUAUAAUUUAACAAGUAACUUACAUCGUGUUGAUCGUUUGGAGGCAAAAGUUGUGCCAGCGCUCUACGUCUACUCAUGGAACAACCAGUGCCUCAAAACACUGAGUCCUUACUCCUCGAGCUGCUCCUCAUCCCAAGCAAACUCCGAGCAAAAGACAUCAUUUUCUUUGACAUCUUGUUUUAACAAAAACAAGUUAGUACAUCAAUAAAAAUAUGAAUAUAAAAUGAAAUAUAAAAUAAUGAAACAAAGUAACAAAUGAAACAAAUAAUGAAAUACAAAUCCAUACUCGUCAAUCGUAAUCGUAAUAAAAAUCAGGAUCUAGUUGUUUUUGCUGAUCCAAUAGACGCCAAGUAGCUUUCUUCUUUCUCGACAUUCGUUUUCUUUUUGGAGGAACCUCUACAUAAUUUUGAUCACCUAGUAAGGAUUCUUCCAACAUUUCAGUUUGUAUGUUAAACGUUCUCGUAAGUUUCUCAUCUUAGAAAAUCUUAGCAGCCUCCACCUCCUGCUCGAUUUAACUUUCAACAUAACCAGCAUCACCAGGAGCAUAUAGUCGCUCACGAGGAUUAACUUUUUACACUACCCUCCAAUGAACCAAACUCUUCUUCUUAGAUGGAUGUCAUAUAAUACACCUGCUCGCAUUGGUGGGCAAGUAUUAUAGUGUUGUGGCCAUGUAAUCGAUCUUUGUUUUUCACUUCCACCAUGCCAUAUUGGUUUUCUCACGUUGCACUAUUGGGAGAAACCAAUCACAAUCGAAGAAUACCACUUUUAGUUGUUUAUCUCCCAAAAACUUGUACUCGAUUAUAUAAUUAAUCACAACAUAAUAAUUAGUCACCUUCCCUUGAUCAUCGACAACUCUAUUUACAACUCCAAAAUUGGUUGUGGCUGUAAGAGCAUGAGCACCUUCGAACAUUGUAGAAUGGAAACGGAAACCAUUGACAUUAUACCGACCAUAACGUUUGACAGUUAUUACUACUAAGGACAAUUGUCAAAGGUCCUGGUGUAUAUUGUCAUUCCUAUCUACAUAAUCUUGAAACCAACACAAGAAAUUAGGCCCCCAUAUUUUCCUCUCGAAGAAUCUGAUCACAUUGAUUCAAUGUUGGUUCACGACUAGACAUCCAAUUUUGAGAAUCAAAUUCACUGUAAGUACAAGGAAACAAACCUAUUAGGAUAAGAAAAAACAAGAUAAGCACAAUGAUUAAAAAUUAAGUUUGAACUUAUAGGAGAAACUGAUUCAUCUCUUCCAUGUUAUUGUACAUGUAGAGCAAAGCAUACUUCCAUUUGUCAUUGGUGAAACAGUAAGCUAUUUUGGGUCCUAUAGUUUUGCCCCUCCAUUGAAAAAAUUCAAGAUCACUGCAACGGGGCUCUUUGUCGACAUGGUACCACAACACAGGCGCAUUGACGUUAUGUUCCUUUUGCAAAGUACAGGCUCGUGAACGAUGCUAUCUCUUUGUAUUUGAAUUCAUCGGCGAUGCACCCUUCAACUCGUCUCUUAUUACCAACCAUUGCACGUAGCUUCUUUAGUGUUCUCUCGAUGUGAUACAUCCAUCUAUACUGGACAGGACAACCUACCUUAGCUUCGUAUGGUAGGUGAACAAGUAGAUGUUGCAUCAGAUUGAAGAAACCCAGAGGAAAUAUUUUUUUUCAUGUUUGCAUACCAAAACCGGUAUUUGUUGCUUAAGCUUCUCCAUCAUCUCUUUAUUAAUUUAUUUAGCACAAAGAUGUCUAUAAAAGUAGCUUAGCUCCGCUAACUAUCACACCCGGAUUGAAGGGCAAACCCGAGUGCGUCUCAAAUGUGUGCAUUAAACGACACAAGGAUCUAAUCGAGGCAUCCGUGACUGGAUCAACGACCACACAUCGCCUCCCUCAACGUGCCCCUUCCUUGCAACUGGACACGUGUCACAUCGGAAUUUAAGGGGUAAACCCAGGUGCGUCUCAUAUGUGUGCCAAAGAAGAACAACACAUAUAAUGACCAAGUGUAUAUAGAUAAAUCUCACAAACAUUAUUACAUAGCGGAAGUGUCUUACAAAAAUAAAUGAUAACAAUAAGCGAGCUAAUAUUAUUUCCUUGGCGCCAUUAAGCUGACUAGGAGACGCCACCUAGACUUCAUCAAACUCUUCAUAGUAGUCCUCCUCCUGUGCUACCUGCUCUUCACCUAUGGGGGGGGUUUAUAUAUCGCAAGGGUGAGCUCACAAAAGUUCAUAGCUCAACAAGUUGUGGGGAAUAAUGUGUAUGAACUCACAAAUGGUGGGAGCUCAUGUGUAGUGUCAGCCUGAUCGACAAAUAAUGGUUAAGGCACAUCAUUGGUUUUAAUAUAGUCGGUCAAGUUUUAUUAGCAGUUUGCCCAUGACCGUGAGCAUGGCUGAUAUACCAGUUUUACACUCUUCAGAAGUUGCGCAUCUUUACCCGCAAGUCAUGUUACCCAUCUGCCAUGGGGUUGUAUGACCCCAUACACCUCUACCAAGGAAGCGAGGUAGGGUAACACUAUGAGGCCUUUACAAAGUUCCACUAGCUUCAGGAAAUCUGCUACAGUUUCUAAGGAGACCGAUAUAGGAAUCCCCCGUAUGAAAAGCCAUCUCAACAAGAUCAACCCGAGAACCUCCCUAUAACGACAACUCCCCUACCACCCUUGUGGUAGCACUGUUUUCCCGGGUGGUCGCUCCAUGUUCCAAUUAACAUAAUGAUCUUGUCACGAACAAUAAAUAACUCAUUUAUAAUAGAAGCAGAUCAUGAACGAUGUGUAUCUUAACACCCAAAACCACAUAAAGCAAUAGCAGGUACUACCCAAAAGUUUAGUGGUAAACAAGGUAUAAAGAUGUCUAAACUAGGGUGACCUAUUGGGUCCCAACAAAAUUAACCUAGGCAGAUCAUAAUGAUUAACAAGAACAUUAUUGGUAAAGAAAAGUGAUCAAGGGCACAACUUGCCUUCAAUGAGCUCCUGCGUAGUAUUUUCCACCUGUUGGGUAUUGGGAUCCUCGGUGGCUUGCUCGUCUAUUCGCAACAAUACAAACAAACAUGGUAUAGGAGAAAUUAACAUCACACCAAACAUGUGAAUAUAUUGGAUAAUAAUAUUCUACGCAUCAUAACGAGAUCGUAGGUUUGAAAACCACUAAAUUCAAAGUUACGGUUAAAGAGUUAUGAUUUUCUAAAGAAUUAAGUGUUAGAUAUAAAACAAAUUAAGUGCAUAAUUUAACCUAUGUCACCUAAUAAUAUAAGGUUACUAAAUGAUAAACAAUAUUAAUAUGAGCCCAAAGUAACUGGAAUGGGUUAAUUUGGAGUUAAAACAGUCAAGUUAUGCUUAUUCUAGGAUCUCUAUACUUAUUUUUACACCUAUAAUUGAUUAUCAACUCAUUAUGUAAUUGAUUAUUUGUUUUAUUCCAGAAUUCGGAUGACGGGCAUAAAAUCCGGGUAGCACAGUGGUUACUUUGUAAGAAACCAGGGCUUCACUGUAAGGUGCUUAACACACGGCUGGCUGGCGGGUUAAUGUCAAAUGAUCCAAGGGCUAUUUAGAAAAAAUACACUCCCGAAGGGGUACAGCGGGCUCCCCGCCACCCGAUCGAUCAUGGACGGCCAAGAUUAAAUCUUGGCAACCCCAAACCGUUACGCUACGUCGAUCUUUGCUUCUAGAUCCAAAGGCUAACACACACCCACGCCAGGCCCCAUCACCAGCCAUCCGAUAUGAUCGAACGACCACGGUUUUAAACAAGCAAAGCGGUACGUGCCAUCUAAUCUAAGCCACCCGACUGGAAUCUGACGGUGGAGGGCAACCUUCCCCCACGGCCAGCCCAAACCGGCGGCGCGGAGGUCCGACGCGGUGGCGCCAUGAUCGGACUGCCCAGAGCACCGGCAUGAUGCACCAAACUUAGAUUCGAUCAGUGACACAUAAUGCCCAAUGCAAGACGAACAUGAUGGAUGGGUACUUACUCCUCAAUUCUUCGUAGACUGUCACGGCGACGGCGAGCAGCGAAUCCGCGAGUUCGGUUGGUCACGGGCAUGGAAUUGGGUCGAUUCUAAGCGCCCAAAGCACUGGGACUCCUCCGCGCGGACUUCCUCAGUGGCGGCCGACCUCAACCAGCGACUGCGAGGGCAUGGCGGCGAAGGACGCAAGGCUGUAAUAUCCCAAAAAAAUGUUUCCAAAGGUUGAUCUUCGGUGCGUGGAUGUGGGAAAAGGGUUGUGGGCCGUUGGAUGCUAAGUCACAACCCUGAAGGAAGAUGUAGUAAUAUUUGAGGUUUGUAUUGUAUUUGAAGGAAGGUAAAGUAUUAUUUGAGGUUUGUAUUGUAUCUGAAGGAAGGUAAAGUAUUAUUUGAGGACCGUAUUGUUUUUGAAGGAAGAUGAAGUAUUAUUUGAGGUUUUUAUUGUAUGUGAAGGAAGUGAAGUAUAUUGAUAAAUGCAGCAUGCCAUAUGCAUUGCAUGAUUCAUUUGAAUCUGAAGUUUUGUCGUGACCUAUGGUCCGACCGUACCGGUACAACUUAGCAUCGUAUGUUGUCCGAGGAGGGGUACGAUGCGGCUUCAUACCCACAAAGGUAUGAAGGCAGAGGACAUAUGCAUUGCAUUCACGUGCAUUAUAUUCAUUGAAGUGAUAAUUGCAGAUAUUGUGGAUGCAGGGAAGUGUUAUACAAACUAUUGUGGUUGUUCGAGGAAAUGAGAUGGUAUUGGUUAUAUUGGGACUACUGAGUUCUAUAUCUACAAGUAUUUCUGAUCUUAAUUGUGAUUCCUGUAAAAUAUUGAUUAAUUUAUCUUGUGGUUUAAAUAUCUCAUCAAAACAUUUUGCUCUCUGAGAUGUUUCAUCUCACUCUUGCAUUACUCAAUGUAGGUACUUGAUGCUUAUCAAGGGGAGUGGGAAGUAGCGGCACGUUGCGCACAUUGCUUAAAGAACCAAAUAAUUAUCUUGGGUUAUUGACUUUUGAGGUUCAUACUUUAGAGUAUGAUGUAGUCAUAAGCUGGUUCAUUCGUGGUUAAUUGUCCUUGAUGAGAAUUAUAUCAUACUAGUAUGAUUCAUUUUGUAUUGAUAUAUCUCUUUUGCUUCUGCGAUGCUUAUAAUUACAAAGGAGAUGCUGCCAAAUUUUAUUUUGCUUAGUCUUUGGUUGUUGGUAGUGAAGUCCAGUAGCAUCUCGGGGUGUUUGUGGAUUCCGGGGUGUUACUGUUGGUAUCAAAGCUUAGGCUUUAGAUUCUAGGUAAAUUGAACAUGAAAUUGCACACAUGCACAUAUAGGAAGGGCAUGGGUUCAAAAUUCUUUGAUAUAUGUUAGUGUCUUUGAAGUGCAGAUGACAAUAAUUUCACCCUCCCUAUUCCUUUAUGGUGAUGUGGUAAGUUGUUUAUGACUUAAUGCCUGAUAUAAUUUAUUUCUAAAUUUUGAUAUUGUUUUAUUAAUGCGGUUGAUGUCGCUGGUCUUUUGUGAGAUUGAAGUUGUUAUUAUGCUUGUGAUAUACAAGUAUGCCUAUGUUCUUUUCACCAUGUUUUUCAUGGUUGAGUUUUAUUACAAUAAUAUUGCUAUAUAUUCUUGAUUGAGGAUGUUUCUAAGAGGAGUGUGAAUUGUGUGUUUUGGGUUACAAGGUAACCAUUAAUUUGAAUUUAAGUUGUUGAGCGGUUGGUGGAUAGCUCCAACUAUCUUUGCAAAGAAUGAUUGUUUAUGUCGAGAAACCAGUUCUGAAAGAAAUGAAUAUUGGUACUUAUAUAUGGAUUUUGGGGGAAGUCUUUACAUAUCCAGAAUGGCUUACAUGUCUCUCUUCUAUCGUGUGUUUUAGUAGCCACAAAGCCUAGAUGUGGUUUAAAGUGGUUGCAUGUUAGUCAUGCUAAUUGUAGAAUAAAUCUUUGAUUUUCUUGAUCCAUUGAUUAUGUAUUAAUACGUUGAGGAUCUGAUGGUUCUCUCCCCGAUGCAUGCUUGUGGAGCCAUUGUUGGACCACUUAUCUAUUGGUUUGAAUGAAGUCAUUGCCUAACCUAGAGUUGGUUGUGUGUGGUUAGUGACCUAUUUCUAAAUGAUGUGGUUUUUACAUCAGCAUGAGAUGUUUGCCAAAUUUGUGAAGGAUUACGGGGUUAGUAUUGACCCUGUAUGUAUGGUACUUUGAGUGCAUCAUAUGAUAGAAUGAAAUGUAAGUUUCUGAACUACAGUAGAUGAAGACUUAUAUUAUGUGUAGGUUAAUCUUACUAGUUUGGAUAUUUUUUUAGUUGAGUUGUUGGAUGAAGUAUAGUGACAUGGGUUAAGCAAAUAUUGUGUUGUUGUUGUGCUGUCAGUGCUCUUUGUGGAGUUUUUGGCAUUUCUUCGAUGAACUGUGCCUCACAGAAUGUUAUUGACUUCUUGUCGGCUUUAUUGCUCCAUUAGUUCUAUAGAUUUUCUCCCUUUUGUGGGGUGCAAAGAAUGUUAGAUUACAUGAUUAUCUUUUCAUGAUGGAAAGAACUAGGUUUAGGAAGAUUAGGAGUUUUGUUUCAAUAGAACUACUUGUUUCGUGGUGCUGUGAGGUGAGGUGUUUGAUCUUCUUAUACAUUCAUCUGGUGUGGAUGUUUCACCACUAAAUUAAAAUGAAUUGUUGAAGUUGGUAAGGGUUGUGCUUAGUGCAUAUUACCCCUUCAUAAAAGAGUGUCAUUUUAAGACAUUGAUGCUGAUGUAUGGCUGCAUCCAAAUUUGAUGUUGUGAAAUCGUAGUUUUGAUUGCAUCUAUGACUUGCUUUGAGCUUCAUUACAUGUUGUUUCAUGCUUGAUGUUAGGUGGUGUAGUUUCCUUAGACAAUUAGUCUGAGGUAGAAGUUCUUGUGUUAAUUAAGACCAAUAAUGGACCCAUGUUUUGAAUGGUGGUGCUAUAUGGGGUACCUUGGAUGUUUUGUUUGGAGUGGUCGAAUUUAAGGACGAAUUUUUUUAAGGGGUAGAGUGUAAUAUCCCAAAAAAAAUGUUGCCAAAGGUUGAUCUUCGGUGCGUGGAUGUGGGAAAAGGGUUGUGGGCCAUUGGAUGCUAAGUCAGAGUCAUCUGAGGCGUCGUUUCUUUUCUCCCGCAAAGAAACUCUAGUGGCCGCCCUCCCCCCUUUUUCCCCUUUCUUGGCCGCCACCCCCUUUCCCCACACUUGGCCGCCCCUCCCCUUCCAUUUUGCUGGCCGCCCCCUCUCCUCUCAUGGCAGCCGCCCUCUACCCUCUCCAUGGCUUUCACCUCCCUCUAGAACUCCCCCCCAAGCAGCAAGGAUCGAGAAGAGGAGGAGCAAGUUGGAUUGAAGAGGAAGAGAGGACCAAGGAAAUGUUCUAUCCCUAUCUCUUCUUGCAAAUUUUCUUGGGGAAACCGUAGGUAAGGAUGAGAUCUAUGUUCCUCUCUUCAAUUAAGUGUUUUUGCAAGUUUUGGAUCAUGGGGAUUAAAGGAUUAGAGGUUGGAUUAGAUGUGGGGUUAGAUUUUAAUCUCGAAUUUAAUUUCUGCAGAAUGACAGAUUCGAUAGUUUCAGUUCAUGCCAGUUUUCCGUGGUCUUAGUGGCCCCAAAAAAAUAAAAAGUCUGUAUAUGAGUCGUAGCUAAUUUGUAGAUCUUUACGUGGCCACGAAGAACACCUCAAUCGGACAUCAGAUCAGAGAGUUAUUGUAGUUUGAUUAUAGCAGUUUUUCAGUCUCAUAAUUCUGUGCAGAAUCUGUUCUCUUAAGAUUUAGGAAAGUUUAUCAACAUAAUUAAACCUUGGGUUUGUUAGCAAAGUUGUAGAUAAUUUUAUAAGAUUUCCAUAUUAAUAAAGAGUGUAUUCAUAUGAAUUUUUAAACUCCAGUUAUGUUUGUUUUACUGUGGCUGUUUCUGUUUGCCUGGUAAAAAUGAGCGGGUCUGUUCACUGGUGGGUUUCAUCUAGUAAAUGGCCGAAUUGACUCUUCCAACUAUGAAGAAUUUUGUAUAGGGAUAAAAGUUCUUACUUCAAGCAGAAUUUCAUAAUUUUUGGUUGUGUAGUUUGGGAGAUAUCAAAUUUUGAAGUUAACUAUGCUGCUGUCUGAAACAGAUUUAGUCAGUUAUCUUGUCAGAUGUUUUAGAACUUAUAGAAGGCAAAAUUUAAUUAUCCAUUUAAUACCGAAGUUGUAGAGUAUUUUGUGUAGAUACUCCUAGAGUAUUUGUUUGAUAUCACCACUGUUAUAAUUUUAAAGAUACAAAAUUAACAAAUAGUGUUGCUGCUGUUUAGCAUGUGGUACAGGGUGGGAGUCUUUCCACGAGGUCUUGGUUUCAAGUGUAUGAACGAUUUGUUGAUUGUUGGCAAAUGUUUGUGGAAUAUUUGUACUAUGUUUUAUGCCCCACAGCAGGUGGCUACACUCCGGAUCAUGCCAAGUACAUUUUUCUUAUUCGAUGAAGGCAAGUGAAUGUAGCGGUGGUUGCUACAGUUUUGACUUGUUAUUUUUAUCGCCUGCACUCUAAUAUUCCGUAUUAUUGAAUUCUUUCAUAAUUGAACUAUAUGAUGAUGCUUUACUUGAUUGUAUUAUAUUGAUGCUCAAUCAUAUAUUGAUGAUGAUUAUGGUUCGAGUAUGACCCAUGAGAUUAAUUCACAACCCUGAAGGAAGAUGAAGCAAUAUUUGAGGUUUCUAUUGUAUUUGAAGGAAGGUAAAGUAUUAUUUGAGGUUUGUAUUGUAUCUGAAGGAAGGUAAAGUAAUAUUUGAGGUUUGUAUUGUUUCUGAAGGAAGAUGAAGUAUUAUUUGAGGUUUGUAUUGUAUGUGAAGGGAGUGAAGUAUAUUGAUAAAUGCAGCAUGCCAUAUGCAUUGCAUGAUUCAUUUGCAUCUAAAGUUUUGUCAUGACCUAUGGUCCGACCGUACCAGUACAACUUAGCAUCGUACGUUGCCCGAGGAGGGGUAUGAUGCGGCUUCAUACCCUCAGAGGUAUGAAGGCAGAGGACAUAUGCAUUGCAUUCACAUGCAUUCAUUGAAGUGAUAUUUGCAGAUAUUGUGGACGCAGGGAAGUGUUAUACAAACUAUUAUGGUUGCUCGAGGAAAUGAGAUGGUAUUGGUUAUAUUGGGACUAUUGAGUUCUAUAUCUACAAGUAUUUCUGAUCUUAAUUGUGAUUCCUGUAAAAUGUUGAUAAAUUUAUCUUGUGGUUUAAAUAUCUCGUCAAAACAUUUUGCUUGCUGAGAUGUUUCAUCUCACUCUUGCAUUACUCAAUACAGGUACUUGAUGCUUAUCAAGGGGAGUGGGAAGUAGCGGCACGUUGCACACAUUGCUUAAAGAACCAAAUAAUUAUCUUUGGUUAUUGACUUUUGAGGUUCAUACUUUAGAGUAUGAUGUAGUCAUAAGCUGGUUCAUUCGUGGUUAAUUGUCUUUGAUGAGAAUUAUAUCACACUAGUAUGAUUCAUUUUGUAUUGAUAUAUCUCUUUUGCUUCUGUGAUGCUUAUAAUUACAAAGGAGAUGCUGUCAAAAUUUAUUUUGCUUAGUCUUCGGUUGUUGGUAGUGAAGUCCAAUAGCAUCUCGGGGUGUUUGUGGAUCCCAGGGUGUUACAACGGUGGUGCCAAUCUCUCCUCUCGCUGAGCUCUCAACUGGUGGCAGUUUCCUCUGUGAUUCGGAACACAAGCACGGCUGAGGGCCCUACUCCCCAUCAUAUAUGCACAAGGAAGGCUAGUUGGAUUCCAGGGUGUUUCACGAUGAGUGUGGACGCGGACAUCGCAGACUCUGUUACGCUAGCGCGAGCAAUUCUCCCGGGAAGCAAGGCACUGGCCUGCCGGACCCGCAGGGCAGUGGCUCCCAGUGCAAGCCGUGAGAGGGAUGGGAACUGGCACUGGGCCCGCGUCACAGUGGCACUAGUUGCAAGCACGCGAUACACGGCUGCGACGGUGAGUGGGACCCACAUGUUCGCGCCUGCAUCAGAUUCUUGAGCCGCACGAUGGAAAAGAGUGUCUAGGCCAAAAGUGAGGAACUAGGCCCAUUCCGCUUCCUAUUGUUUUCUCUUUUUGAUUCUUUCUUUUAUAAUUUCUAUUUUGUUUUUUCACUUAAAUUCAUAAUUUGAAUUCUUGUUUUACUCUCCAGAUUUCAAAUAUCAAACAAAAUUCUAAUACUUCUAUUGCUUGCAAUGAUAUUAUUUAUUUAUUAUUAUUUAUUCUCCUUCCUAUUAUUUAAUUAUGGAAGGAAUAAUUACUUUAUUAUCAUUUCCUUUCUUUACUCAUUUUCUGUUUUAUAUUUUCAUUUAUAAUUUGAGUUCUAAUUUAAAUUAUGACUCCUUUACUCAAAUAAAAUGAAUCACACAAAAAGAAACAUCAACAUGAAUGCACCUUUAAUUUGUUCAACUUGAUCUCUUUAUUGACAUAUGCAAAAGAGAAAAUGGGAUAAUUAAUCACAUAAGUUCCAAAAUUCCCCAAAACAAUAACAUAUAAAUAUAUUUAUUUAUUUAUAUCAUUAUUUUCUCUGUUACAAAUUUUGGGCUUCACAACACGGCGGCGCCGCCGCACAUACAACGGUGAACACGCCGGAAACAUUGGAUUCGCCACGAGGAUGCAUCUCCCCAUCUAAAAUGCUCUAUAUGUCGUGAAGUUCAAGGAAAACACACAAGGAGGAGACUCACCUGUGAUUAUGGCAUAGAGACCUCCGCCCAUGACGAGGAGCGACUCCGUCGCGAGUAUAUGACUCUGGCGAGAAAUUCUCGCACCGUCAAGGGUCUCCCUCAUCCCAAGAAACCUCUACGAGCAUACUUGCUCCCUAGUGAUAACCAUUGGAUUGCUUUCGAGGAUCAAGCGAUGGGGUGGAUCAAUGUCAACGAUGACUCCUCUUUGUUGGCAUGGGUUGGGGUUGAGACUGGGUCUUUAUAUCGAGAGGUGAAGGCGUAUCGGCCUAUGUUGUUACACUGGUGAUGCGAAGUCCGCCGCAAUUGUUACACCUCAGCAGGGAUUGAGUGCAAGGUAGGAGAUCAGUAGUGGUCAAAGGGGCCCACUAGUUAGCGAUCUGGUGCAUGCUCACACAGGCCGACCGCAAGGGCCCACAUGUCAUCAACAGAUAGAAGAGCAUGUGGUGGGUCCGACUGUUGUGACUAGUUUCUAGAUCCGGUGGUACAUUUAAAUUUUCACUUACGGUUUUAGUUAUCAAACUUCAGCGAAAAACAGGUGGGGCUGGCUUAAGGAACCGCCAGUGCAGGCUUAUGGAUAUGCUUCCUCAUUUAUCCCAAGGUUGGAAAUGUGCUGGUGCUCGACUCCUUGGAUUAUGACCCUUCGACCUAUACAAAAUUUCUCAGCAUCUUAGAAUUGUAAGCCUUUUCUAUGCAUGCAUAAUUUUAUCGAUGAAAAUUUGAGAAUAACAUAGUGAUUCUAUUUGAGAUCAAAGGGCUUAUAGAUUCUAUAAGAUGAGAGGUGGAAACUAUGAUACGUCAAAACAACAAGUGUCACUAGAAAUCCACUAUAAAUGGCCGGUAAGUAUGCGAAUUUAUGAAUAUAUCCACUAUAUAAUGUUGGAACUAAAUAACCAAUCUCCCCUUUAUGUAGUGCCACUAGUAACCACCCGGAUCUUUCCUAUGUGGGUUCUAUGUGUGAGAGUUCAUGAGACAAAACACACGAUACAUUACAAACCCUGGCCAGGUAUUAUUAGUAAUAGCAUGUAUGUAUUUAUGUAAUUAAAGAUGCAAAUAUGUUAUCGAGUGUAAAUAUAUGAUGUUUAUAAACUUUCUUUACAGGAAUUUCAACAAGGAAAGCUGGAGAACAUGAUCGAAGGUGCAUUGUAUGACAUAAUUGAAGAUUUAUGCACAUUCAUAAUGAAAGAUGUCAUUCCCAUUAAAGGGAAAUAUCAUGAUGCUACCAGUACAUUAGCUAGGCCAGAGUUUAAAGUACUCACAGAAAUUAGUAGAAUAUCUCUUAGCCGAGAUAGUUAUUAGAUCUUAGGUAAAAACUUUGAUGUCUAGAAUAUGUGAUGGUUGUAAACACAAGACUUAAUAUAUAUAAAUGUAUAAUAGAAUUUAAUUCCAUGUUGCUUUCAAUAUGAAUGUCAAUAUAUAUAUAUAUAUAUAUAUAUAUAAUUCAGUUUUGUUUUGAAAAUUUGAAAAGAGGCCGGAAAACUACCACUGGUGGCCAAAAAAAUAAAACAGUAAGUGGAAAGUGCAUUUCCACUAGCGGUUUUAAUAAGAAAACUGUUAGUGAAAUGUUAUUUCCACUACCGUUUGGUUACGAGAACCGCCAGUGGAAUUUCUAUUGGCGGUUUCUAGUGGAAAUAGCAUUUUCACUAGAGGUUCUAAAAUAAUUGUCAGUGGAAUAUUGAAUUCCACUAGCCCCUAGAACUGUUGGUACAAAAAAAACGCCAGUAUAAAUAGGUUUACAACCGCCACUACAGAACUUCUCUGUAAUAAUGAACAUCUACUUUCAACGGCUGUCAGUAUAGCCAUAGGAGAUAACGGCUCUUGGAGGCCCUCAGAGUUUUUUGGUGUACGGGUCAUUGGACGUUUUUCAGUUUCUGUUUUGAACGGGCUGGUACCGAAGGAUAUCCAAAAUGAGACUAAUAUGUGACCACCUAUUAGAGGAAUCAAAUCUCUCCGUAUUUAAUUUUAAAUAGAAAAAAAGAUUGAGGAUGUUUGGUUUAUAGAACUAAUUUUUAGUCCAUACAUUUUAUUUUAUUUUUAGUUCAUAAAUUGUCAAAUACGCAUGUAACCGAACAAGACCUCGGUGGAUCAAAUUAUGCCACAAUACCUCACGUUAACGUACUAUUGUACGACUCCAUUUAAUUUGGAACUAGUUUUUGGUCCACUAAUUUUAGGUCCUGGCCGGUCUACAACUCAAGUUCCUUUGAACUAUUUCGUUCCUCCGAUCCUAGCUUUUGAAAAAUUAAUUAGUUCUACCUAAAUGGACGCCUCUCAUAAUAUCUAAAGAUGGAUAAUGAGAAAUCAUCAAAUCAUAGACUAAAAAUAUAUAAAAAAUGUUAUGAACCAAUUUUCAUACAUAUCACGAACUAACAACCAUCUUUUUGAGAUAGAAAAACAUGGGACUGUGAAUCGACAACAUCAUCGAUGUUACUGUUUCCCAUUUUGUACAUGUACAUUCUUUCUUUUAAGGGGGUUAUAUUUUUUUCACGGCUCACAGUCUACAAUAGUUUUUUCAUACCUACAUGCCAACUAAACAACAGACCAUUAGUCUAUUUCCAAAAUGAUCUCAGUGUAUCGCUGAAACUUUCCUUGCACUUAUACACAGACAAAUAUUCAAUCUUUCCACAUCAUCAUUCAAUAAGCUGGUGAGUCAUCAAAAUUUCUUGGACAUGACUACAUUAUUGAAUAUUUUCAUGGAGAUAUUCAAUUAUAUUGUUUGACCCAUACCUGUUUAUUGUUUCACCAAGAACAUCUUUCAAUUAUGGAUCUAUCAAAGUCACUUUAUUAUCGCGCGCAUACAGGACAUCUUUCAGUAAUUUAUGGUUUAAUAUUGAGCAUACGCUCAGUACAAUUACACCACAUGCCAUGCCAGGGGCCGCAUAGAUUAUUUAGGUAGCUAGCUAGGUUUCGACUCAUACCUUAUGAGUGGAAGGCUAUAUACGUGUGUGAACUUUAACGAUGAGGAGCCCUCGGGCUCUUUAAAUUACGGAUAUCAAUGAUACGAGACGUGCGGUGUGAUUCAGUACCGACGUCCAUCAGCUUUCUUCCAGGAUGUAUGUCCUUGGUAAAGCUGCUGGUUCCUCCUUCGUUUCUUGCAUAUGAAUUUGCUAGCGAGGUGGUUUCUUCUGCCAUCGUUACAAGAAAACUCCCAUGAUCAAAGUAUGCAACUAUGCACAUCAUGUUCAAAAUGAGCAGUGCCACCGUUGCAGGCUUCAUCUGCAUAUAUUGGAUGCGUAUGCGUUAUGCGAUAAUUUCUAACAUAAUAAUUAAAUUAGUACAUGGAAAAUAUAUUGAAUCGUACUGAAGAAAAGUGGUGUAGCUCACAAGAAGAAAAGGACUCACCCCAGUUAGCUGAUUAGUGAAGGUUUGUGUUGUUGAUAAUCGAAGAUACUCGCCUGGCAAUGCUAUAUAUAGCCGUAUUAAUAGAGAAGUCUUUUCUCGGUCAAUAUGAGUUAGUUGUUUUGGGUUUGUUCUAUAAGUCAAUCGCUAUGUCAACUUUGACAGGUUAAAUCAGGUGUUUCAUAAAAUUUUACAAUAUAUAUAAAAGUAAUUACUAGAUUCACAAUAUGAUUAGUAGACUCAACCCAGUUAGUUCAUUAUGGCGCACUACAAUACUACUACAGAAGCAUCAUAUUUAGUAUUAAUGGUCUAGACCACCUAAUAUUGCAAGAAUUGAUUUCCGCAGUUGGAGCCAAGCAAUAGUCAUAGCUCCAGCUGUUGCUGCCAAGUGGAGGGCAUAAAGAUUGGACAUGUAUCAGUAUCACCGAGGGUGUUCAAUAAAAAAAAUGAGAUCAUUCACUAUGGGGCGUUUGGUUGCCUUCCCUGUGGGUGUAAGUGCAUCUGCACAUACAAAAAGCCGUCUUAAUUAGUUUGGUUCGCUGUAUUCCAAGGGGCAGGCCAGCACGAAGCUCAAUGCGCCGCGAGCCAGGCGCCACGCCUCGCACGGUCGCACGCGCGCGGCUAGGCUAGGCUUGGCUGAGCCGACUAUUUACUCAAGCAUGCAAAUCGAGAUGUUGGUUUUGUUUUUUAUAUCUUGUAAUUAAAAGAUUUAAUUACCGAACCGAUUUCAUAUCUGUGUUUCUGAUAUUUUUACGAACGCAACUAGACCAAACAUGUUAUGUAUAUUUUAAAUUAAAAUAUUACGUGAUUAAGAUUAGCAUAUAAUUAGUGUUUAUUAACAUAUAGUUAGUGUCUAUUAAAUGAUUUUAACAUAUAAUUAUUGUCUAUUAAUACAAUUUCCAUUUAUUUAAUUACUUUUUUAAAGCAUACAAUAAAUAUUCAUACAGGCAACCAAACAACAUUUUUCAUGAACCUGACUUAUCACAUACCGAACACAAGAAGUUGUAUAUGUCCAGCCACACCAGUCAGAGCCAGGCUCACUAGAUACGAGCCAGGCUCAGCCAUGCAGGCAACCAAACAGGCCCAUAGGGGGACUUGGUUCCAUAAGCCAAACAAGCCACAAUAGUCAUCUAGUAAGAUAGACGAGCAAUAUGACCACUUCCAUAAGCCUAAUACAAUUCAGGAUUUGUUCUACGUUCAAUAAUAAUAAAUACAUCUAAAUGUUUUGUUUAUAGCAAGGCUUGCUCGAUGGGGGACUUUGUCGGAUGGGCCGUUCUUAGGGAGUUUCUUGGGCUUUUUUUGGACACCUCGUUCCUGUUCCUAGGUGCCCGACACCUUCCGUUUGACAAAAUAGAGAAUAACGAGACUAAAAACCAGAGACGUCCCUCUAACCAAACGGGACAUAAAUCAACAUAAAAUCUCAUCGAGCAACAUGAUAAACAAUAAGACAAAAUAGAGGGCAACUUCGUUGGUUCGAAGUUGGACAUUUGAAUAGGCCUUGAUCAUUUCCUUUAUAUACUGCGGUAGUCACCAAAGAGCCUCUAGCGUAAUGGUUAAGACUUUCAAGUAGCAAGGUCCCAGGCUCAAUCCAUCUGGAGGCGAAUUUUGGGUUUGGUUAAAAAAAUUCUCUCGUUGUGCCCCACCCGCUCUCGGGUUAUGUCCUGCGCACCACCCUCCGGCUGGGCCAUUGCAGAGUGGGCGGUGAUGGCCCCUAGUGACGGGGCAGAGUUCGAAGAUUUCUCAAUCAGUACCAUGUUUCGAUCUCUUAAUAUAAUACCGAGAGGACGAUCUUUCCCUCUUCGGUCGAGUUUUUUAUACUGCGUAGUCUUAUCUCAAUAAGAAACAACUGUAAAACGUGGCCAACAAGUUUCAUAUUUGAAAAUACAUCACAUAAAUAGCUAUGGAUAUGUCGAAGUCACAUUAUUAUCGCACACGGGACAUAUUUCAAUAAUUUAUUGUUUAGUAUUGAGCAUAGCUCAGUACAAUAACACCACAUAUUUUAGAAGCCACACACAUUAUUUAGAUAGGUUUCCACUCAUAUACAAUACAAGGGACUUGAUCUGAGAACCUGGCGAUCGAUCUGCAACAUACCGUAUGUGUCUAUAGGUCGGAUACCCAGCAUAUGAUGAGUGGAAGGCUAUACAUGUACGAACUUUAGGGAAUGCAACCAGCUGGAGCUAAGGAUGAGGGUUGCCUGAGCUCAUUAUGUGACGCAUAUCACUGAUAGAAAACCCACGGUUUGAAUCAGUACCGGCGUCCAUCAGCUUUCUUCCACGAUGUAUGCCCUUGGUUCCUUCAUUUCUUCCAUACGAAUUUGCCAGCAAGGUGGUUUCUUCGGCCAUCGUUCCAGGAAAGCUUCCAUGAUCAAAGUAUGCAACUAUGCACAUCAUGUUCAACAAAAUGAGCAGUGCCACCGUUCCAGGCUUCAUCUGUAUAUAUUGGAUAUAUAUCUACGCGUUAUAUAUGCUAUUAUUUUGUAACAUAAUUAGUACAUGGAAAAUAUAUUGAAUCCUACUACUAAAGAAAACUGGUGUAGCUCACAAAAAGAAAAGGACUCACCCUAGUAAGCUGAUUAGUU